AUGAAUGGAAUACCUUGAAAAAUGUGCCUCUGUCAUAAUCUUCUUUCUUAGCCCGUCUAUAUCCGGCACACACAAUCGGUUUUGGCACUGAAGUACUCCUUCUCGCGUAAGCUCAAAUGCCUUGGUCGCACCACUCUGAACGUUCUCCUUAAGAUGUAAUAAAAUAGGAUCUGCAUAUUGCUUCUCUUUCACUUCAGCUACUAAUGAAGAUUCCGCAGCAUUAUGUACGAUAAGCUCUUUAUUCGGAGUUUCAAGAAGGCGAACUCCCAAACUAGCUAACUGGUGAAGAUCUUUAACCAUCCCUUGCCUUUCUAUAGGCGCCAUCAUAGCCUUACGACUUAACGCAUCAGCUACCACAUUUGCUUUCCCUGGAUGGUACAAGAUAUCAACAUCAUAGUCCUUUAAUAGUUCAAGCCAUCUCCGCUGCCUUAAAUUUAGAUCCUUCUGAUUAAAAAUAUAUUGCAAGCUCUUAUGGUCAGUAUAUAUAUCAACGUGAACCCCAUAUAAGUAGUGGCGCCAUAUCUUUAAAGCAAAAAUAACCGCUGCCAGCUCAAGAUCGUGUGUAGGAUAAUUUUUCUCAUGUGGCCGUAAUUGUCUAGAAGCAUAUGCUAUUACCUUACCAUGCUGCAUCAAUACACAUCCUAAACCAAUUCUGGAAGCAUCACAAUACACUGUAUACCCUUCGGUGCCUUCUGGUAGUACCAACACGGGUGUAGAAAUCAACUUGUUCUUUAAAUCUUGAAAACUCUUCUCACAGGCAUCAUUCCAUUGGAAUUUGGAUGCUUUAUGGGUUAGCUUGGUUAAGGGUGCUGAAAUGGAAGAAAAGUCUUUGACAAACCUUCUAUAAUAACCGGCCAACCCAAGAAAACUACGAAUCUCCGUAGGCGUUGUGGGCCUUGGCCAGUUCUUCACAGCCUCUAUCUUUUGAGCAUCAACCUUUAUCCCUUCACUAGAUACAAUAUGACCCAAAAAUGCCACCGACUUUAACCAAAACUCACAUUUAGAGAACUUUGCAUAAAGCUUACAAUCACGAAGAGUCUGCAAUGCCUGUCGUAAGUGAUUGGCAUGGUCCUCUUCUGAUCUAGAAUAAACUAGAAUAUCAUCUAUAAAAACUAUCACAAAUACAUCCAGGAAUGGCUUAAAAACCCUAUUCAUCAAAUCCAUAAAAGCUGCGGGUGCAUUUGUUAGCCCAAAUGACAUAACUAGAAACUCAUAAUGACCAUACCUUGUUCGGAAAGCUGUUUUGGGUAUAUCUUUUUCUUUGACCCUCACUUGGUGGUAACCUGACCUCAAAUCAAUCUUAGAAAAGCACUUGGCGCCCUGUAACUGAUCAAAUAAAUCAUCAAUUCUUGGGAGAGGAUAUUUAUUCUUAAUAGUCACCUUAUUCAAUUGCCGAUAAUCAAUACACAUCCUCAGCGAGCCAUCCUUUUUGCGUACAAAUAACACUGGUGCUCCCCAAGGGGAAAUACUAGGCCUAAUGAACCCCUUUUCUAGCAAAUCUUUCAAUUGCUCUUUCAAUUCUCGUAAUUCUGCUGGGGCCAUUCUAUACGGAGGAAUGGAGAUUGGUUGGGUGCCUGGUAUUACAUCAAUACCAAACUCUACUUCUCGUUCAGGAGGCAAACCUGGAAGAUCUUCAGGAAAUACAUCAGAAAAUUCAUUUACCACCGGAACAGCGUGAAGAGUUGGUGGCUCCGCUUCUGUAUCCCUUACUCUAACUAAAUGAUAUAUAUAUCCCUUGGAAAUCAUUCUUCUCGCCUUAAAAUAAGAAAUAAAUCUACCUCUUGGCACGCUAAUUUCACCUUUCCAUUCAAGGACUGAUUCAUUUGGAAAAUGGAAAUAUACCUUUUUCGUGCAGCAAUCAAUUGUGGCAUAACAAGACGCCAACCAGUCCAUACCCAUUAUAACAUCAAAAUCUACCAUUUCUAACUCCACAAGAUCAGCCAUCGUAUCACGACCACAAACAGUUACUAUGCAGUUUCGAUAAACCCUUCUAGCUAUAAUAGAUUCCCCGACCGGUGUGGACACUUCAAAUGGCUUAACUAACAGUUCGGGUAUUCUUUCGAACUUUCCAGCAACCAAUGGAGUAACAUAAGAUAAUGUAGAACCGGGAUCAAUUAAGGCAUAUAAAUUGAAUGAAAAUAUAGCCAACAUACCCGUAACCACAUCUGGAGAAGCCUCUAAAUUCUGUCGAUCUGCUAGAGCAUACGUACGAUUUUGAGCCCCGCUAGAACUCGUGGCUCCUCUAUCACCUCUAACACGACCCAUUGGCUGUGCACCCCUUCCUGAAUAAGGCAUCGAUGAUGAUGAUGCAACAAAUGACCCCGUAGGUCGUGCCAUACCCCCUAUGUCCCUUCGUGGGCAUUCCCUCAUCAUAUGCCCCGACAUACCGCACCAAAAGCAAACAUUGGUCCCCAGCCGACAUGCGCCCAAAUGAUACCUUCCACAUUUAUUGCAUGGCUCUCGAGGAGGUCUUGAUUGGCUCAUAUUCCCUUGACCUUGGUACCCCACUGUCCGCGAACUCUGACUCUCACUUCUGUGCCCAAAUUGAUUUCCUCUGAACCCUUGGAACUGUGGUGGGGCACUAGCUGUAGAAUAAGAGGAUAAUGGCCUAGGUGGUCUAGCAGAAAACUGUGGUCUGAACCCUCUUUCGAAUGCCAUGAACUGCCCUGUAGAUCUGGCCCUCUUGGAAUAUCCUCUUUCUGAUUCCUGUGUUCUUCUCCUCUGCCUCUGAUCUUCCAUUUUUUGUGCAAAAGCUUGGAUUCUCGCUAUGUCCAUAUCUUUGUUCAAAGCAGCAAUAGUACAAUCUCUAACCAGAUAUGGAUCUAGCCUAUCCACAUAUUGAUGAACUCUGUCAACCAUAGUAGCUACAACAUUAGGAGCAUAUCUCGACAAGGAAUUAAAUCGAAGACUGUACUCCCUCACGCUCAUAUUCCCCUGACGAAGAUUUAAAAACUGAUCUGCACGGGCCUGACGAAUCUCGAAUGGAAGAUAAUGAUCAAGAAAUGCCUCUUUGAACUCCUUCCAAGUAGCUGGGGGUGCAUCAAUACCCCUAGAUCGUUUCCAGUCCUCAUACCAAUAUAUAGCCUCCCCUUUAAAUCUAUACGCCGCUAACUCCACUGUCUCUCUACCCGUUACAUGCAUAACAUCCAAGGCCCUUUGAAUUUGAUCGUUGGACUCUACUGCCAUAGUAGCAACAACAUUAGGAGCGUACCUGGCCAGAGAAUUAAAUUUAAGACUAUAUUCCCUCACGCUCAUAUUCCCCUGAUGGAGGUUCAGGAACUGAUCUGCACGGGCCUCUCGGAUCUCUAAUGGCAAGUAAUGAUCAAGGAAGGCCAUUUUGAACUCCUCCCAAGUAGUUGGAGGUGUAUCUAUGCCUUGGGACUGCUUCCAUAGGUUUUCUGUUGCAACUUAUAACCUACCUGUUACAGCAGAUGAGCAAUCCUUUGAAAAUAAUAAAAAUAGAUCACUCAUCGGUUGUACCAAGUAGGUUUUCUGUUGCAACUUAUAACCUACCUGUUACAGCAGAUGAGCAAUCCUUUGAAAAUAAUAAAAAUAGAUCACUCAUCGGUUGUACCAAGUAGGUUUUCUGUUGCAACUUAUAACCUACCUGUUACAGCAGAUGAGCAAUCCUUUGAAAAUAAUAAAAAUAGAUCACUCAUCGGUUGUACCAAGUAGGUUUUCUGUUGCAACUUAUAACCUACCUGUUACAGCAGAUGAGCAAUCCUUUGAAAAUAAUAAAAAUAGAUCACUCAUCGGUUGUACCAAGUAGGUUUUCUGUUGCAACUUAUAACCUACCUGUUACAGCAGAUGAGCAAUCCUUUGAAAAUAAUAAAAAUAGAUCACUCAUCGGUUGUACCAAGUAGGUUUUCUGUUGCAACUUAUAACCUACCUGUUACAGCAGAUGAGCAAUCCUUUGAAAAUAAUAAAAAUAGAUCACUCAUCUGUUGCACCAUGUAGUUUAUCUGUUGCAACCUAUAACCAACCUGUUGCAGAAAAUAAGUAAUCCAUUAGAAAUAAUAAAAACAUAUCACUUAUCUACUAAAAUAGAUCACUCAUCUUUUGCAAAAUGAGUUAUCUGUUGGAUCAGUAUUGUCACGCCCCAAAUCCUAUUAAGGCGGACUGGCACCCGUUGCCGGUAAGGCUCGGGAGAACCAACCUGUAGCGAUACAUUACCUAUGAACAUUAUAAGUUACUUUCAUACUAAACAUGCCCUCAAAAGAUAAAUAGGACUAGCAAGCCAAAAGAUAUUAUAUGACUAGGCCGUUGGAGCCACAAUGUCUACGGUACGAUACAUGACCAUACUAUACUUUACGUAGUCUACAAAGCCUCUAGACAAGAAACGUUAUCUUAUAAGGGUCGGGACAGGCCCCGCCUCAUGAUAAGAUACUAUACAAUGCAAAAAGAUAUGAUAAGACUCAAAGCCCCGAAGCAACCUGGAGCUCAGUGACUGCGGUUGAUAUCCUGUACUCUUACUAGGGAGGUUUAUUAGCUUCUGUACCUGCAGCAUGGAAUGCAGGUCCCCCAAGAGGGACGUCAGUACGAAAUAAUGUACUGAAUAUGUAAGGCAACAUGUACUAUAUAUGAGAUAAAAACUCAAAUGAAACCAUGUACUGCUGUAGGGUAAAAGACCACCUUUAUGAAUAUUGUGGAGUCAUGUAUCUUAUAACAAUUAUGUUACUUUACUCUUAUUACUUGAAUAAUCUGUGCACAGCAUGUAAUACAAAUGACCAGCUGAUCAGUGGUAAUUCUAUAUCAGGAUCGACCCAUGCUAGGCUUUCCUUUCACCCCUGGGAUACCCCCUGUAAUACUGGGAUUGACCCAUGCUAGGUGAUUCUUUCACCCCUGGGAUACCACCCAACAGAAGCAACUGUAUACAUAUAUCUUCUUAUUACUUUUGAGAUGAAUCUUUGGUGGUCGUAACAUUUGAGCUAUAAGACUAUAAGCAUGACAAAUGACAAGUAUGUGUCCAUGUAACAUCAUAUCAUAAUGAAAAGAGUGGGUUGUACAAUUAGUGAAACAUGUAGGACAUAAACAACGUAUGAACUUUAUUUAGCUAAAAAGAAGACUCAUAUGUCAUGGUACCCAAUGUAUGUAUGCAGCAGUGACAAUGCUCGAAUCUGGACACACAAGUACAUGUUAAAGAGUGGAGUGGUUAUGUCAAAGUUUGUAAAGAUCUCUAUGUGCCAAUGAAGACUUUGGAUUCCAUGCCAAAUAAUAAGAGAUCGAAUAGCCUUACAUACCUCGACAUAUCAACUUGUUUUUACGUCGAAAUGACUUCUUUUCUUCCAACUAUUUAUCUACAAUAUCAUGUUUUAAAGCUAGUAUUAGCAGCUAAUCAAUGCAUCUGGACAGCCCAAUCUCACAAGACACAACACUUUGGCAACAAACGUAUAACCAUCAACUCAAUGGUGUUAUUCCGACUUUCUCAAUUCUAACUGUAUUCAACCAGCAUAGAUUAUCAUAUACAUGAUGUAUACAGCCUAUAUUAGUUCUAUAACAUGCUGGCAACAGUCCAUAACUACAACACAUAACCAUUUUACAAAACGCUCAACUAAGAAGCACAACAUCUCGUCGUCUCCCUACAUUUCGUCGUUAACAAUUCAUACUUGUCCCAACUUUGAACCAGAUGCUCCCAACAUAUAUAUACAUCAAAUAAACCUUAACAUAGUCACAAAAUAGCUCAAAACGUAGGGGAAACGUGAAACAACAUCCCCCUCAACAAAACAGUCCAAUACCAGUUUGGAAGCACAUAAGAUCAUAUAAGGAUACUUGUUUCCAAAGAACUAGCAAAACAGUCCAGCAACCUUGGCAACCAUAUACACACUAUAACAUGUUAAUAACCUCAACUUUACAUCAUAUUAAAGUGAAAAAUCAGGGUAAAAAUCGUUCCAAAGCCAAGAAAACCAAACAACAACUUUCAGGACACAAGCUGUCCAGAAAUUCCUGCACAGUGAACCAGCCAACUUAUCUUGUUUUCCAUGGAAAAUUCAUAUCAAGUAUAUGGUUAUUUUUACAUACCUUAACUCCCAAGGUGUAGGUCUAAUUCAAGAACUCAAAAAGUAGCCUUUGGUUGCCUUCCAAGGUGAAGAAAUACCAAGAGAAACUUAGAGAGAAAUUCUGAAAUUUUUUGGUCUUUUCUUUGGUUAACCUAGAGCUCGGUUUUGGUCCCUUUUUAAGGAGACUUUAGACCGACUUUCUCCUAAUAUUUGUAGCUGAUUAACUCAAGUUGGUCAAUGACUAAUUUUCCCCUUUCACUUGGGCCUUUUGGAUCUCUAAAUCAAUGGGCUUUAGUGGCCCAUUUCCUUACUCUUUCUUGCACUUUGUUUGGGCUCAAUUUUGUUAGUAGUGAAUGAAUGUGGUUGGGCCUAUUAUAUAAAAAUCUUGGGCUGAACAUCUUGGCCCAAUAUAAUGUUAAACCAUUGUCUUUAAUAGCCUCCCUAACUUGGGCUUCGUUUGUCACAAGACUUGGAAAGUUUCGGCGUUAAGCCUUGUCUUCGUUCCCCUUUCUUUUUACUAACGUCUAGACUUUAAGUGAGUUCACUUAUGAAUGAAUUCUUCUCCCUCAUGUAUAUAUAAUUUUGAAGCUAAGCACACAGGUGACUCACCUGCUAGCUCCCUAAGUUCCAUAAGCAUGUCAAUGUUUGUUUUUUUUUUCUUCCGUUUAAGGCCACAGUCUCUAAAUAGACUUCCAUAUAGUGCCCCAAUCUAACACUUGAACACUUGACAAAUUUUGGUAGUAAUUAAAUCAAGUCGUAUGUCAUUUUAUGUGAAUAUUACUAGUACAUGUAAAAUGUGGGGUGUUACAUACAUGCCAGUACUUAUCCCAUUGACCGUCCUUGGAUGCCUCAUUAUCUCAUAAUGUAGGGUCCGAAGAUACUUACUUUACCUCUAUGUAGCGUUAGGUGGAUUAGCACGUUCGUCGAGUAGCUGCGAAAUGGUAAGCCUCUAUCCUUCUAAAGGUCUUACAUUUCUAUAUUCUUUUAUUUUAACUCAGUACUUUAGGAUUCUUUUGGUUAUGGUCGGGGCAUGUCUUGACCAGUUUGGUACUCUGGUUUUAGAGGCUAUAUUGGGAAAAUGUGGGUUGGUUAUUGUUUUAACUCUUAGUUUCAUUGAGUCAUUCAUUCAUCUUCUUAUUUUUGUUUAGUUGGCUUCCAUAUUAUUUUAAUAAUAAUUAUUAUUAUUGUGCUCUUGAAGUUAGGUUAAUGGGGUGGUCUCCGGUCCUUUGUGGACUUGAGAUACCUGUCAGGGCCAGGCUCUGAUUUGGGUUGUGACAUCAUGUGUGAAGAAUAACUUUGUCGAGAUGUGCUUUGUUGUAGCUCUUCUUAUACAACCCCCCGUUAAUUGGGAUAUGCAUGAAGCAUUGUCUUCAUAUAGGAUGGUGGGUAUCUUGAAAUUACACUUUAGGCCAUAUCUUUAUUUGAUGAAAUGUAUCACAUAUCUCAACCACACACAUUCUCUACUUGCUUCAUUAAUAGCUAUUAUCUCAGCAUGAUUUGAAGAAGUAGCAACAUAGACUGCUUUAUAGAUCGUUAUGAUAUAGCAGUACCUUUAUAUGUAAAAACAUAGCCUAUUUGAGAUCAAGCUUUAUGUGGGUUAGAUAAAUAACCUGCAUCUACCUGACCAACAAGAUCUGCACUAUCUUUGUUUGUAUAAACAGACCUAUAUCAAUAGUCCCUUUUAAACAUUACAAAAUAUGCUUAACACAAUUUUAAUGUCUACGUGUAAGAGAAGAACUAUGUCUUGCUAUCAAAUUAAUAGAAAAUUCUACAUCAGAUCUUAUAGCAUUAGCAAGAUACAUAAGUGCAUCAAUAAUAAUGAGAUAUGGUACUUCGGGAACAAUAAUCUUUUCAUCCUCAUCUGGAGGUCAAAACAGGUCUUUACUCACCUCAAGUGAUCGAACAAUCAUUGGAGUACUUAAUGGAUGUGCUUUAUUCAUGUAAAAUCAUUUUAAAACCUUCUCAAUAUAGAAAGAUUGGUGGAUCAAGACCCCAUCUGCUAAAUGUUCAAUCUGCAGACCAAGACAAAGUUUUGUUUUUUCAAGAUCUUUUAUCUCAAAUUCUUUCUUUAGAGAUUCAAUUGUCUUUCGGACCUCUUCUGGAGUUCCAAUGAGAUUUAUGUCAUCAAUAUAAAUAACGACAUAACAAACUUUGAUGCUAUUUUCUUAAUAAAAAUACAAGGACAAAUGACAUCAUUUAUGUAACCUUCAUUUUUCAAGUACUCACUAAGGUGAUUAUACCACAUACGUCCAAAUUGUUUUGAACCGUAUAAUGAUCUUUGUAAUUUGAUUGAAUACAAGUCUCGAGACUUUGAACUAUAUGUUUUAGGCAUAUUUAGUCCUUCUGUGAUCCUCAUAUAAAUUUCAUUAUCAAGUGAGUUGUAAAGAUAAGCUGUAACCACAUCCAUUAGAUGUAUUUCAAGAUUUUCAUGUACGACUAGACCGAUGAGAUAUCGAAAUAUUAAUCGCAUCCAUAAUAGGUGAAUAUAUUUCUUCAUAGUUAACACCGGUUCUUUGAGAUAAUCCUUGUGAAACAAGGCAUGUCUUGAAUCUUACAAUUUUAUUUCUCUUAUUUCUAUUAUGUACGAUGAAUCAUUAUGGCCAACUGAUUUUACACCAUCUGGGGUUUGGAAUAUAGGUCCAAAAAUCAUACGUUUAACAAGUGAGUUCAAUUCUGAUUGAAUUUCCUUUUAUCAUUUUGGCCAAUCAUUUCUUCACCGACAUUCUUCGAUAGAUAGAGAUUCAAGGUCUUCAAUGUCUUGCGUAAUAUUUAGUGCAAAUAUAUGCAAAAGUAUUGUCCACCAUAAUUUUUGAUUGAUCUAAAUUUAUCUCAUCAUCGGUGGAACUCAUUGAAAAUUCUUCAUUCACUUGAGUCUCGAUUUCACUAAUUUCUUCAGAAGUAUCAGAAUUAAUCAGAUUUUUAGUCUCUUUAUGAGAUUCCCUUAUAAUGUCAUCUUUAUUAUUUUUCGUGCUUCUUUUUCUAGGAUAUUUAUUCUUUGAACCUAGUGGCCUACCAUGCUUCGGGAAUGUUUGAGAUUAAGAAACUAUGAUACUAGUAGAUGUUCCCUUUGGGGCAUCAAUUCGGAUAGGUACAUUCAUCGUAGGAAUAUGCGACUUAGUUAUCAUUUUCAAUUUAGUAAAUGCAUCUGGCAUUUGAUUUGCAAAUUUCUGUUAGUGAACGAUCUUCUGAACCUUAUGUUCACAUAUGGGGGUACGUGGGUCAAAAUGAGAUAGUGAUGAAACUUUUCAUGCAAUUUCUCUUUUGAGUUCUUAUUUCUCUCCCCCUAAUUACGAAAAAUUUAUUUCAUCAAAUCGACAAUUUGUAAAUCGAGCAAUAAAUAAAUCUUUUGUUGAUGGAUCAGGAUAACAAAUUAUGAAGGGUGAAUCAAAUUCAACAUAUAUUUCUAACCUUCUCUAGGGGCCAUCUUAGUGCAUUGUGGUAGUGCUACUGGCACAUAUAUAACAUAUUCAAAAAUUCAUAGAUGAGCAAUAUUUGGCCCAUGACCAAGGACCAAUUGGGACUGAGAGUAUUUAUUAUAAUGAGUCAGUCUAAGAUGAACAAGUGAUGUGACAUGCAAUAUAGCAUGGCCCAAAUGGUAGGUGCAUUUCAUUUUGAUAAAUAGUGAUUUUGCUAUUAAUUGUAGGCGGUUAAUAAAUGACUCAGCAAGUCCAUUUUGAUUAUGAAUAUGAGUGAUAGGAUGUUUAAUUCUUAUCCCAAGUGAUAAGAUGUUCAAUUCUUAUCCCACCCUAUACACAAUAAUCACAAAAACUUGGGAUAUAAAUUCUCUAGCAUUAUCAAGGUGAUUAGCCUUAAUGGGAUAAUCUGAAAAUUACGCCCUUAAUCAUAUUAUUUGCACUAAUAAUUUUGCAAACUCUGAGUUGCGAGACGAUAAGAGGUACACAUGAGAUCUCUUGAAGAUGCAUCUAUUAGGACCACAAAUUAUCUGAAUGACCCACUAGAUGGGUGAAUAGGUCCACAAAUAUACCCAUGUAUACGUUCUAGAAAAAUAGGAGAUUCGAUACCAACUUUUGGUAGCAACAACUUAGGUAUCAAUUUACUAUGGUAACAAGCAGCACCUGAAAAUUUAAUACUUACAAGAAUCUCCAAGUUCUUUAAUGGGUGCCCAUGUGAAUUUUCAAUGAUCGUCUCAUCAUUAUUGAGCCAGAAUGACCUAUUUGGUCAUGUCAAAGAACAAACAUUUUUAAAUUGGUAAGCUUCUGGUUUACAAUAGAGUGUACUUCAAAUGUACUAAUUUCUGCAUAAUAUAAGCCAGAAGAAAAAGUUGACAAUUUCCCCAACAUAUAUUUUUGACCUGAGACGUUCUUGGUAAUGCCAAGAUAUUCAAUAUUUAUUUUAUUAUUGUUUCAACGAGAUAUUUAUUUAAACAAAUAUAUUUAAAACUUAACAAGUUUUUUGGAGAUUUAGAAGAGAAUAGUGCAUCUUCUACUAUAAAUUUCAUCCCCUUAGGCAAAAAUAUAGUAGCUCUUUCAGAGCCUUCAAUUAAUUUUGAAUUACCAGAGAUUGUUACAACAUUUGCUUUUCUUCUAAGAAACUAGGAAACAUAUUUCUCAUCUAUAAAUAUGGUGUACAUUGUUCCACUAUCAAUUACACAGAUAUCCUCGCGAUUCAUCAUUGAUCCAAAUAAAAUUUGAGAAGUAUUCAUAAAUUCUUCAUGAAAAUGUAAACAAAGUAAACAUUAUAGUGUCACUAGCAUACACCAUAUUACACAAGCUUUAUUUAUUUACAAGACUAGAGAAGCACGAAUAACAGGAAUAUAAACUAAUACAACCAACAAAAAAGUAAAAUACUUAGAUCAUUACAGAUUUGUCACCGACAAGUAAUCUACACUUCCUUUUGAAAAUUCAGAAAAAUCUGCAACAUCUAAAUGCAUAGGCUCAACAUUACCUUGAAAGAUAAAAUUUACUUCUGCAUUAUUAUUUACCUUCUUGGGGGAUGACUGAUAGAUAUCAACUAGGUGCAUUGGUGUACGACAGAUAGCGUGAUCAAUAAUUUUUUCUCUACACCGAUAAUAUCUAUUUUCUAUAUUUUCUUGCACCGCUUCAGGCUUUUCACCCUUCUUCUUACACUAUUGGUGAUGAAGGUUAUUAUUUAGUGCAAAUGACCACCAUGAUUAAAAUUUCUUCAUCGAUCAUAGUCGCAAUCAUAGCCUUUUUCUUAUCUAGAUUGGUGAAAAUUUGAAGCAUUCAUUUCAAAAAAUGGAGUAGUACCUAGAGGUCGACUUUCAUAAUUUUUCAUCAAAAGAUCAUUAUAUUGUUCAGCAACAAGGAGAUGCAAAAUUAAUGUAGAAUACUUUUUAAAUCCCAUUUCUCAGUAUUGUUGUUGUAGGAGCAUACUCGAGGCAAGAAAGGUGGAGAAUGUUUUCUCUAGCAUAUCAUACUCUGUGUUAUUUUCUCCACAUAAAUUUAAUCAUGAUUUAAUUGGAUAUAUGACAGAAUUAUAUACAGUUAUAUCUUUAAAAUCUUGUAAUCUGAAAUGGGUCCAUAUAUAAUGUGCUUGUGGAAGAACGACCAUCUUCAGGUGGUCAUAUCUAUCUUUUAAAUUAUUCCACAGUACAAGUGGAUCCUUAACAAUGAGAUAUGUAAUUUUUAAGCCCCCAUCGAGGUGGUAAUAGAGAAAUAUCAUGACUUUGGCAUGGUCUUGAUUAGAUGCUUGAUUUUUAUCUUUGAUGGUGUCUUCCAGGCCCGUUGCAUUAAGUGCUCAAGUUAAGUAGGUUUUGCGUAAUAUAUCUAAGGCAAUAAAUUCAUUUUUAGAUAGAUUCGACAUUAUUUUAAGAAAAAUAAGUUCUUACCUCUGUUACCUGCAUUUAUUCCAGAUGGUAGAGAUCGUGUUGAUAACGUAAUAAAUAACUAAAGCUAAUACUUAAAGUAAAUAAAGUAAGAGAUUGAAGUGUAAUAACCAAAAAAAAGAAUCUAAUUAUAGUAUUUGAUUUUACUUCUUUUUUUUAUAUAUUUUACAAUGUACAUCAAAUGGCAAUUUAUAGCCAGUGGUAUUUGGGGACAAAGCUAACUGCUUACAAUACUUGAGGCCAAGUUGAAAAGUUUGGCCAUUAUACUUGCCACAUAGUUAUUAAUACCAUUCAUAGCAUAUUUCAAAAUAUUGUUAUUAUUAGCUAAAAUAAAAAGGCAUUUGCAUGAGUUUUGUUACUAUACUAGGGGGAAGGGGCAUGGUGCCUGUAAAGAAGAAUUAGUUGCAAUGCAUAAAUGCAUAAAAUAAACUAUUUACUUAUUUUUCAAGGAGCUAAGUUUUACAAGGGGUUUCUCCUGUUCCGAUAUCGAUCAAGACCAUUUGAUCUUCCUCCUAUAAGACUAUUUUUUAGCAUCACAAUCUGCAAACACACCCUACAAAGACCAGGUAUAUUAUAUCCUUAAGAUUGAUUCCCCUUGUUCUAUAGCUGCCACAAACAAUUCAGGAGACAACAGUGACAAAAUGUGGCAAACAAUUACCAAAUUUUCAGAAUCUUAAGCGAAAUUUGUACAAAACUCAUGAUAGCGAUUAGACAGAAAUCAAUUAAGUGAUGCAUUCUAUAAGAACAAAGGCUUAUUGACUCUAGUUUCUCAAAAUUAUGCCAACAUCAAACUUUGACAACAUUGAGUGAAUGGUACUCAAGAGUAUCAUUAAUUAAAACACUAUCUGGUUUGCCCAGAUCUUUUCCAGCAAGAAAGGUGCUCUUUAGAGACUACAUCUAACAAUAACCAAAGGUAUGCAUUACACACUAAACUACACAAUUUUAAUUUUAAACCAUAAACUCAUCGUAUCAUUGCGUAGAGACUAAACAUGUGAUUUCUGGUGUACCAAUUAUCAAUCAUAAUAGUAAUAUGACCAUCUGAAAAAUUGAAAAGGAUUGGAAUCUCAUCCCUAUUGUUAAUUGUAAUUCGCGCAAAAUCACCCAAUACCCUUUGAAAAUUGAGUGAAGGGAAAUAAAAGAGACUUUCAAUUUGUUCCUUGACCUAAAAUUGCUAAGUCCAGUUCCAUUUUGGAGGUGCGAGUUAAAUGAUGGCUUCAAUAGAUUCUACUGCAUUAAUUCCUAUAGAAGAGAAUGAUACCUUAUUUUACAUAGAUGAAGUCACCUCCAAAAGAUAUCAAGUCAUCGACAAAGUCUUUCAUAUGCGACAUAUUUUUCUCCUGAAUGAUGACUUCUUUUUUUGUGGCCUUCCUUUCUCAUGGAAACAUACCAACAUAUGGCCCUCAAAGGAGGAGGGUAUAGGGAGAAACAUUACAUGUGAACCAAAAAGGUUCUAUCAUCAAAUCAAUACACACGAAAUUUUGGAACCAAAUAGUCCUAAUCCAAUACCUCUGCUGCAAAUUUUGGCUUUGUCAUAUUGCUCGAUUUGUUGAUUAUUUUUCUAGGUGCAGAAGAAGAUGCCAACCACCUUUCAUCUUCCAUAUGGAUAUAAUAUUUUCAUAUCACAAAAAAGGUGCACAUAUAUACAAUAUCAUCUUGGUAGGGUGAAUGACUACAGUGCCCUUGCUAUAAAUUUUUUCACAUAAAGCACACAUGUCGAAAUCCCUGCUUUAAUAACAUUAUAAUUAUGAAAUAAAAAUAAAGAGAAAUAUAAUGGAUAAAUGGACGAUAAAUGUGUGUAUGUAUACAUACUAUAGAAACUUCUAAUUUAAGGCUCAGAUAUUAUAAGCAGGGCAAUAAGAAAAAACACAUCCGACAUGGUUGUAGACCAUACUAGUUGCUAAGUUUAGCUCACCGGAGUGUAAUCCUCAUGAGUCCAGACGAAUAUCAACCACUAAGAUCAAUUACAUGAUUUUUUUUCCUUUAGAAGUUGUGGUUUUCCUCAAAGCCCCAUCAAAGAUUUCAAUUAAACAAUAUAAGCAAAGGUUCAAGCGUUGAAAAUAGUCUCUGUUAUAAUAAAAUAGACCCAUGCGGUCAGGCUCUUUCUGAAACCUGUGCAUAGCAGGAGUUUUAUUGCAGAGGGCAUCCCUUAGGCAAACUAAAGUAUUUCACUCAAAGUUCAACUCACCUUAUUUUGUGGUAGAGAUUUUCUAGUUACUAUUUAAGAGCCCAUCUCUUUCACCCUUGAUAUUCAAUGAUUCGAUUAGAGCAUCAAACUGUUAAGAAGGAAAAGAUGAAACUCAUUACAAUAUAAGAGAAAACCAUAAGAGAAAGUGUGUUCUAAUAAUUAUACCAAGAGUAAUACCCCCACCAGAUGGAAUCUAAACUACCAAUAAAUAUUCUUCCAUCACCAGAAGAAAACCAAUUUAGUAAGUGCUCUAUUUUCUAUUCAAGAUAUUCUCUCUAUAACACAUUUUUGACAAAUAUAAGUAAAAGAAUAUUUAUGUUAAGUCACAAUUUGAACUGUGCAACCAGGAAAUCAUUUCAAUAGACAUCUAGGCAAGAAAAUUUACUAUGUACACGUUUCUGUUUAACAUGAAAUAACUUACUUGUGUAUCGAAAAAGAUAACCAGAAAGCUAGAUAGAGAGAGGAGACGACACUCACCAUUUGCUUCUUACUCUUAUUUUCAAAUAGCGAAAUAAAGAGACACAUACCUGCAGUUUCAAUUCGUAAAAUAGUUCAAAAUCCUAAAUUUUGCACUGCAUACAAAAAAGAAAUUCAAAAAUUUAAUCAGUACAAUGAGGUCGAAAAAAAAUCUCAAUAAUGGCUGAUGAAUAUUCGUUGACUAAAGGUGUAAGAAAUUUAUCUUUAUAAACUAAAAGCAACAAAUUUGAUAUUUCUGAUGCUUAAACAGAGCUAAUGGAGGAAAUCAGCUUUAAACAACUCUCGAAAUCCUCCUCACUUCACGAGCAUAUGCCCCAGUCUCAAUCAACGAUGCUAUCCCCUUCAAAUUUGAAUAAACAACAAUCACCCAAAAUACUAAAAAAAAAUCCUAAUAUUUUCCUCUUACUUCAUAAAAUUAAACUCCGAUCUUUCAAAUUGAUUCCAAUCCAAAAAAAAUCUAACUCAGUGUUGUUCUCUAAUGAAUUACUGGUGCAUUGAUCUUUCUGAUGCAGAGAAAAUUUUAGAUUUUACAAUACAGAUGGAGAAAGAGAAAGGAAUGAAUGAAUUGUUAUCUAAAAGGGAGAAAAAGAGAUACGUGGCUAUGUAUGUGCACGUUGAAAGACACGUUGCAAUAAAAAUUUUAUCAAAAGUCAAAAAUAUUCUUAACUAUACAAAUUUUGACAUGUAAGGUAUCAUAUCGAAAUCCUUCUUUAUAUAAUAUAUAAAUCAAAAGUCAAAAAUAUUCUUAGCUAUACAACUUUUGACGUGUAAGGUACCAUGUCGAAACCCUCCUUUAUAUAAUAUAGAAAUGUCUCAUUCCACUUUUAUUUUUAUAUUGCUGUAAGUGUUGAGACACUUUUCAAACUAUGAAGAUGAGUUGUGAGACAUUUGUUCUAAAUUUGCUCUUCCUAUUGAUUUUUCAUCGACUCACAUCCAUCAUAAAUAUCGACAAAUAUGUUUUUCACAAGAGGGAUGUGUAAUAAUUGUGUAAUCAUUACCCCAUUAUAAUUAUUUUUUUAUAAAUGUUUUAUUUUUGUAUUAUAUAUAUUUUGCUACUCCUGCUCUUCUUAUGAUGAAAGUUUGUUUAAUUUUGAAAAAUAAUUUUACUGUUAAAUAGUUUCUUAGAACAAUGCCAACAUAAUUUAAGUAUUAUGCGUAUUUGAUUGUUACUAAAUAAUACAUUUACUAAUAAAUUUUUUCGCAUUUCGUGUGCUUAUAUGAUUGAUUUUAUAGAGAAAAAGUUUGUUUAGUGUUAGCAGUCAACAAAGUCAUAAGUUACUACUUUGAAUCAAAAAUAUUAUAAACUUACGAUAAUUAAAAAUUUAUCUAAAAUAUAAAAUAGAAAAAUCAUAGAGAGAAUAUGCAAAAAAAAAUAAAAAUAAUGCAACGUCAUAUUUACGAUCUUAAUCAUUAAAAAUAGAAGGAAAACAAAUGAAAUCAAUGCACAAUCUUUUGAGCUUUGAUCGACAUUUACUCUCACAUGCUGAUCACCAUUCAAUACCAUAAUCUUAUUCUUCAAGGUAAACAAAAGUAUGAAUUUAAUAAGCACAUGAAAUCUAACUGCUUAAAAUGCUAAUGUGAUCAUUUCUACGAAAGUUUACAUUGUCUUUACUUAUUGAACUACAAUAUAAAAUAUCAAAUAAUGUUAUGUAUAUGACUAUUUAUCUUUUAGGAAUUACCAUAGAAAAGUAUAGUGAGACUGAUGAAAAUAAAGACCAUUAAAUUUUACAUAACAAAUAUGAAUAAAUGGCUAAUUGCCAUAUUUAUUAUUCUACAAUUAAAGAUAGAGAAGUAGGAGAAAAGAUCAAAUACAAAAACAAAUAAAUAAAUAAAAUUUUAGCCAAAUAUUAUAAUAAAGAUGAAAAACUCAAGAGACUCAAGACAUAAAUUAUAUAGAUUUUUGUUAUUUGAAGCUUAUAAUAAAGGAGUUGUAAUUGAAAAUUCAUGAAAAAUAUUUUUUUGUUAUUUAGACAUCUUUAAGAAAGUAUAACGCCAAAAAAGAGGAAAAAUAUAAUUAUAUCCAACAAAUUCAUAAGUUACAAUUUUGAAUCAAAAGAAAUUAUAAACUUACAAUGAUCAAAAAUACAUAUAAACUAAAUUAAAACAAAUCAUAGAGAGAAUGUAUGAAAAAAUAAACAACACAGCCUUAAUCAUUAAAAAAAUAUGAAAUUAAUUUAGAAUUUUUGAACUCCUAUCAACAUUCACUUCCACAAAUUGAUCAUCAUUCAAUAAUUUUCAUCUUAUUUUUUCGAGUCAAACUAACACAUGAUAUAGUAAGCACUGAACACAUAAUAACUUAAAAAGCUAAUGUGAUCAUUUCUACUAAGUCUUACAAUCUCUAUAUUUUUAAAAUACUACAAUAUAAAAUACAAAUUAAUAUCAUGGAUAUGAUUAUUAAUUAUUCUAUGGACUGUAUUAUUAAAAUAUUUUUGAGAGUAAUAAAAAUAAUGACCAUUAAAUUUUACAUUAAAGAAAUUUAAGGAAAUGAUUAUUUUAGUUUCUUAACAUUGCAUAAUUAACAUAAUUAAGAGACUUAAAACAAUUUUUUUAAUAUUUUUUAUUAUAACACAUAAAUAAGAAAAAAACUAGAGAAAAGUCUCACAAAAAGGAGAAAAAAUCGUAUUUCUUGACAAAAUAGAGGUGUUAUAUCACUUUUCUAUUUCUAACUUUAUUAUUACUGAUGAUAUUUACUAACUUUAUACAUUUCAUUUUGUUUACUUAACAUAAUUAAAUUUUUGAUAGUUUUGUUUUAUUUUAGAAAAAUAAACAAAGAAGUGGUAAUACAUAAAGGACAAAUAAAGUCUAUCAAAACUUCUAUUUCAUCCUACUUUAUAUACUAGUUUAGGAUACGUGCGUUGCACGUGUAUCAUACGUUUUCGAUUAGAAUUAGAAGGAACCUAAAUUGACAUAAACCUACUAUUUUUGUACUAUUUUAUGUGUUUUGUUUUAUUUUUCUUGAGAAAUUGUUAUCUAAAAUCAAUCAUAAAACACGUUUAAGACAAAAUUAGUGUUCUAAAUUGAUCAACAUUGCCUAUAAGUCGAUCCAACGACACGGUACUUUUAUUGAUGUUCACGUGAAUUGUGUUAAUGCAGUGAGUCCGAAUUGUUGAUGUACCCGUAGAAUAUGGUUGAACUUAAAUUAUAAGCAUGUUGUUGGAGUCAUACAUGGUAAAAAAAAACAUUGAACGAUAGUAACAAAAUGAAAUUAUAAAAAGAUUAACACUAUAUUUAACUGGUCUAUUAAUAAAAUCGUAUAAAAAUAUGACUUAACAUCUACCUUUAAAUUUAGCUUCUGCUAUAGACUAAACUAUUAAAGCCCAUGUUGUCAUGAAUAAGAGUCAAAAACGAAAGUACUCCCUCCCUUUCAAGUAUUUUUGGUCAUAAACGACAUUUUCUACACAAAAAAUGAGUGUUAUGUGUAGAUUAAUUUGGUUGAUGGACAUAUUCCUAAAAUUGAGUGUUAUGUGUAGACUAUUCUGGUUGUUCGAUAUAUAUCUAUAAUAUAUUAAAAGUGUGAAGGGCCUUAGAAAUAUCGUUUGAACUUUUUGUCUUUCAUUAAAAGUCUUUGCUUUAGACAAAAUUAUUGUUUCACUAUUUUUUCUAAUAUUUAAGAGUUGCAAAAUUAAUUAAAUAUAUUUAUGGUAAAACUUUUCUUAUUAGAAGUCAUCAGAAUUAAUGAUAACUAAUACUUUUUUCCAUUAGUUUAAAAAUUUUAAAUCAACUAAAUUUGAUUUUAAGAAAAUUUAGAAAGUCUAUAAAUCUCCAUCUCCAUCUACAAUAUAUUAAAAAGAAUCAAAAUAGCUAAAAAAAAGUCUGCUUCCUUUAUCAUAUAUAUGGGAUAGUAGAUCCAUUAACCACUUGAAACUUCUGGUGGUAAUAUAUACAUGCGCUUACAAUAAAACAUAUGUUUUGAACUUUUUACACUUCAUUAAAAACCUUUUUAAUAGAUAAACUCGUUUAAUUUUAAAUAAUCAAAAGUUACACGUGCGAGGCACAUGCGGCUAAACUAGUAUUCUUAAAAAUGAGUGUUAGUAUAUUUGACAUACUUUUGAUUUGAAUUCCAAGAUGAAAAGUAUUACUUCCUGCAUUCGCUUUUACAUGUCAUAUUCAUUAAGAAAAAUAAUUAAUAACAUAACUAUUUUACCAUAGUACCCCGAUUAAAUGAUGUUUACUUAAUAACAUAACUAUUUUAUCAUAGUACCCCUAUUAAAUAAUGUUUAUACUGUGUGUCUUGAAAUUAAUUUGAAGAAAAGACAAUUAAUGUAAAGGAUAAAAUAAGAAAAAUAAGUUGUUUUUUCUUGAUAUGUCCAAAAUGAUAAGUAAAAGCAGAAAUGUAAUUUGGAAAUUAGCGAUAAGUAAAAGCGAACAAAGGGAGUAGUACUUACUUUUUAACAAUUCAUGAGGAGGAUUACCUACAAAUUUUAGCUAAAUGUGAAAAAUAAAUAGUUCUUGUGUCCACAUUGAAUCUUUAAGAUUGUGUAUUUAUGUGUGUUGGUAGUUGAUGAGGUUUGGUGUAUGAGUUUUGUUGCAGAGAAGCCACACCAUUAGUAUUUUCAUUAUGUCAUUGCAUUAAUAAUGUAAUCAUUUUCUACAAAAUGUUUAGUAAGAUUUGAAAAAUCAACUACAUCCUUCAUUUUAAUUUAUCUGAUCUACUUCCUUGGUUAGUCUGUUUGAAAAAAACGAUUCUCUUUACUUUUUCACAAUCUUUUAAUUUCAACUUUUCACAUGACAUGUUUAAGAUCAUAAAAUUAAAGAGAAUUUUAGUCCAUUUAGCAUAUAUAUCUUUAAUUUAAGAUCAUAAAAAAAAAUUUAAAUUUUUUUUUAUUAAACUUUGUGCUAAAUCAAAAUAAACCAAACAAAUUGAAACAAAAGAAACAUUUUUUUAAGAAUCAAAAUGACCACAUUGGUCACAAGUUUAUUAAAAUCAAAAGCAUGUCUAUGUAGAGACCAAAUUUGUCCAAAACUAAGAAAGCAAGAAAGCUAAUCGUCUCUACCUCCCAAGGUAGGGGUAACAUCUCCCUUAUUUAUUUUCUUUAUAAUUUCUAGAUUAUAAUAUAAUAAUUUUUAAUGUUCCAUCUAUAAAAAGGAAAUAGAAAGAGAUAAGUACACUUUACCAUUCCCAAACUUCACUUGUUUGUGGAGUUACACGGAAUGUGUUAUUGUUAUUGAUUCUAGCUAAACUGACAGUCAUCAACAUUGAACGGGAGUUUUAUCCUUAUUAUCUUGCAACUGUUGAAUUAGAGAACUAUAUUGCAGAUGUAGAUCCACAAUAGGUGAUGAGGAUGCAGUGGAGUUUCCAACCGUGGGUAUUCCUUUAGAUGCAAAGCUGGGUUCUUGUUAUUUCCAUGGUGCUUUUUACGAUUUAAUGGUUCUUCAGAGUAUAGAUUUGAUCAAGAAGUUGUGUUAGAUCAUCUUUUAGAAGCUAAGAUAUAUUACUUUACGUAGAUAGUGUUUAACCUUGUAAAUUGAAGAUAUUAAUAAUUAUGCAUUAGGGACUUCAUGUUCACUGUGUUUGUAAUAAUUAUUUAUUUCAUAAAAAUAAAUUAGUUAAAGGGGAGCCUUAGAGUAACUGAUAAAGUUGUUGUCAUGUGACCAAGAGGUCACGAGAUUCAAGCCGUGAAAACAUGCUCUGGCGGGAAUGCAAAGUAAGGUUGCAUACAAUAGAUCUUUUAUGGUUGAACCCUUUCCCUGACCCUACGCAUAGCAGGAACUUUAGUACACCGAGCAGCCCUCUGUAAAGAACUAAAUUAGAUUAUGACUUCAUCCCUGAGUAUGUUUCCAAAUAUUAGGUUAUUGUUUAAUUUUGGUGUUCUUCUCUGCAGGUCCUUGUUGCACUUCAAGUAAAGAGAAUAUAAGACGAAUAAGAAGAACUAUUACUUUUUCGUCAACUUAUAUAUUGUCGUCUUUCGAGUAUCGCUUGUUGUCUUGUUAUAUUCUUUUGUUAUUCACUUUCCAUGGAAGACAUUUAUUAUUCAGAUAUGAUCGUACUGCUUUAACGUGUUAAUAGCCAACUCACUAAUCGAAUUCAUUGCAAGAUUAUCUUUAAAAAACGAAGUUAUAUGCGUGAAUCUGGUAUAUUAGUGGAUGAAGAAAGUUAUAAAUAACAAAAACAUUAAAUGAACUCAAAUUAGAUAAAUUAAGAAGAUAAGCUAAGUUAAAUUAAAUAACUCAAGCGGGAUAACAAUUAAUAGUCUUCAAAUUAACAAUAACAAAAAGGGGAGACUUUAUGAUAGAAAAAAAAAAGGGACAAAUAAAUAUUGCAGCAAAAGGGAGUGACAAAAUAUCACAACAAAGGGAAUUAAGGUGAAAAUCUCAAAAUUAUAAUGCUUUUUAUAAAAGUGAAGAAAUCAUAAAUUAAAAAGAACACUUGUUAAUAUUUAAGUAGGAUUUUUAUAUUUCAUACACUUUAGAAUAUUUUAUUUAUUUAUUUUUGGAAAAGUCACGUUUAAUACAGUACUACCUUUUCAUUUUUUCCUUUUUUUAAGAAGUCACCAAAAAAUAAAAUAAUGCCAAUAUUUUUUUAGAAAAAUUAAAUCAACCUUUUAUUUUUGGAAAAUCGACGUAAACAAAACAAAAAAAAUAAGAACCCUUUAUUGGGGUUGGGGGGUAGUCCGCACACAAGUAAACACCCAAUAAAAAUAUUACCAUAAAUUUAGGAAUUCAGCUAUAAUACAAAAACCUUCUCCAUUUAUUUUUUAAUAUAUUUAUUAUAAUUAUUAUUUUAAAAUUUUAGUACUUAUUAAAUUUUUCUUAUUUUAAUGCUGUUAUAUUUAUUUUUAAAUUUUUCAAAUCUUCUUAAAAUCUAAUUUAGUUGAUUUAAAAUUCCUAAACUAAUAAAAAAAUAUUAGCUGUCAUUAAUUCCGAUGACUUCUAAUAAGGAAAGGUUUUACCAUAAAUAUAAUUAAUUAAUUUUUAACUCUUAAAUAUUAGUUAAAAAGGGUAAAAAGACAAUUUUAUCUAAAACAAAGACUUUUAGUAAAGGGCAAAAAGUUCAAACAACAUUUCUAUGACCCUUCACAUUUUUAAUAUAUUAUAGAUAUAGAUAUAGAUAUAGAUAGAUAUAGACUAUAGAUUAUAGAUAUAGAUUAUAGAUUAUAGAUGAAACAAAUUAAUUUAGAAUUGUAACUUCGCUUUACAUUCUUUUUCUCCUUCCUUUUUCUUCUUUGAGUUUGUAUUAAUUUUCCUUUUUUUAUAUCAAUAAUUUUUCUCCCUACUAUCAUGCAAAAUCCCCCAAAUCAACGUUUUUCUAUGAUGAUCUUAUCAUUAUUCCUAUAAAUUUUUAUUGUUAUAUUAUUUAAAAACUCGAUGUAUUUCAAUUAAAAAAUUGGAGAGAACACAAUAAAAGUAAAAGGAAAAACAACACUUACACAAUCCAGGCUAAAAAGAUGUCAAAUUGGUGGUAGCUUCAUGAGGUAAGAGAGUACAUUUAUCCAAAUUUAUAUAAAAGAAAAUAUAUAUCAGAUUGAUUGGCUAAAGGGAAAAAUUUCUUGAAUGCUCUAGGCUUUGCUUUCUUUCUUCUUCUUCUUGCUUCACUCCAUGAUAUUCAUGAAAAUUUAAAUCCCUAACGAAAGACCUAUUUGCAGUGACGGACCCAAACUUUUGACUAAGUGGAUUCUGGCUAUUGCAUAAAAUAAUUUUAAAAAAAGCCUUACAAGGAAUUGAACACGUGACCUAGGUGUUGAGAAUUGAACCCAUAACCGCUGGGUUAGGCAGUCCUCUUGUGCCUAAUUGGUUCAAUAGAUAUAAUAUACCGAGUUCAAUAUCUGCUUAAACUGGCUGUUGCAAAAAAUAAUUAAAAAACUGCCUUACAAGGGAUCGAACACGCAACAUAGGUGUUAGGAAUUGAACCUACAACUGCUGGGCUGAGCGCUACUCUUGUGCCUAAUGGGUUCAAUAAAUAAUAUAUACCUUUUACAUUUGUAAAAACUGCUUAUAUAUACAUAUAUAUACAGUGUAAUUUUUCGACGAAGUGGGUUCAUAUGAAUCCACUUGAACCCAUGUGGGUUCGCCCCUAGUUCCAAUAGUUUCAGAAUAUCAAUUUAGGUUAGGUAGACCUUUGGUUCGAGCUUCGAUGCACCCGAGUUCAUUUCGACCGAUUGAUCAAAAAGUUAGAAAAUUGGAAAUAUGGGUGUAGGACCUAUAUUUUGUCAAAAUGAUCUCGAAUGGAAAAUUCGACUUUGCUAAUGCGUAUGGAAUAUCAAUUUUAAGUUGGUAGUAUGUUUGGUGUGAUUUUACGGCUUCUAAAUCUCAUUUCGAUCCUCGAUUUGAAAAAUUAUAAUUUCAAAUUUUGGGGGUCAACUUUGUGAAAAUAAUUUUUUUCGAAAUUCUGAUAUCGCCAUUGAGUCCGGAAUAUCGAAUUUAGUAUGUUUUCAUAGUUUGUUUGUGAAUAUCAGACUCCAAAAGAAUCUCGAGCACCCCACUAGAGUCCGAGUUGGACUCAAAAAUCCUGGUUUUUUCAGAUCUGAUGCAGUGUAUAAAACAACCCUUUUUCCCCUGUUUUUGCCCAUUUUACCCAUUCUUUCACCUAAAACUCUUGAGAGUUAAAACCCUAAAAUAGUGGUAGAGCUUAAAAAUGAAACUUGGAGCUUGGGUAGUUAGAUUAACAUCUAUUUCUUGUUCCUAUUACAGAUUUAAGGUGAGAUUUUAUUCCUUUCUACUCUAAUUCCUUGAUUAAUUUUUCAAAAUUUCAAAACUCUUAGGGCUUGAUUUUAAACCCCAUUUUCACUCCUUUUUCACUUAAAUAUUGUUUUAAUCUUAUAAUUAAUAGUUUUUCAUUAAUUUAACCUUCAAAACAACUUCAAUUCUUGAUUUUAAUAUGGAUUUCAAAGAUUUUACCCGGUAAUGCUCAAAAAUAAUUUUUCUUCAAUUUGAACCUCGUUUUUUACUUGGAUUUUCAACUGUAGAUUCCUAACAAUAUGGGAAAACAUUUUUGAAGUAAAGUUAUGAUUUUAUCCUUCUUUUUUGAAAACUUAUUUCGGGGUCCGUUUUGACCCGAACCAAUAGUAGUCAAUAUGGGUAUCGUUGGCUUUGGUUUGACACAUAAAUUAUAUAUUUCUUGGUUUCAGUUAAUUUCGAGAUCAUUCAUGAAAAGUAAGAUUAUGAAUUUGAAGUGUAGAGGAUCAGUUUUGGUAUUCGAGGUAGGUUAUGGCUUAACUCUUUUAAACUGGAUUGGGUAGUAAAUGAUGAUAUAAAAUAUAUGUUAAGGGUGGGAACUAAUUAUGAAAAAUGACUAUCUAUGUAUUGUUCUCAUGUGGGGGCCUAUAUGUGAUGAAAUUAUUGAAAUUGAGAUAUUAUGUGAUAUGUGUGAUCACGUGGGAUCCCAUAUGAUAUUGAUAGCCUUGAAUACAUGUGAAUAAUUAUAUUGUGUUGUUGAAAUGCCUAAUGUAGUACCAUUAUUGUAUUGUGAUAUAUUCAUACUUGUUGGCAUAUGAAACAUGUGGAAAUUCAUGGAUGAUGGAAUUAAUGAGUGAAUAUUAUCUUACGUGGUUGUGGAAAUGUAUUCUUGUUAUUGGUUGUGGAAAUACCUCAUGUGGUUAGUUUUGAAAAUACUCAUUAUGAUGGGUCGUGAACAUUGCGUUAUUAUCCUUAUGGCAUCAUACACAUAAUUUCACUCAUUUGUUUUAUAUUUUGUAUAUGCUAGUUGUUGUUAUUUGCCAUACUUUAUUUGUGUUUUAUGUGCUCUGAAAAUACUCAGAAUUUUGGAAAUACUGGAAACAUCAAAUUUUAUAACCCUUCUCAAGGGAUGUGUUGGGGAAGAUAUAUUGAUAUAUAGAUUGUAUAUGGAUUGACAAAUCCUCCAUGGAUCCCACAUCAGGAGGCAUACAAAGGUUGUGCGACGACCUCGCGCAUCAUCAUUAUCAUCAUCAUCUACAUUGCACUUAUUUUAUUGUGUUUAUGUUGUGCUUGUAUUGUCAUAUUGACUUAUUAUAUAUCUAUUUGUUUUAUAUCUUGAUUUGUUAAUGUCUAAUUGUUCUAUUUUUUUAUUUAUACUUGAUGAUCUUGAUUAUACAUGUUCCUCUUUUGUUGUACUUAUAUGUGAUAUUGUGUCUAAUUGUAUCCAUAUCUGGUGUGUUAUUGUAUUAUGUAAGGAUAUUAUAGAACUGUUAGUGCAAGCGUGUGAGCUACCAUUGUGGGAUAUUUUUUUAUUGCACGUGAUGUUCCCUUAGUGUAUAUUUUGUAUGCUUUAUUUACUACUUUGCUUGGUCGGCCUAUGAUACCUAUUGGGUACAAAUAGACCGUACUCACACCUAUUACUCCCUUUUGUUGCAGGUCCUAGAUAGAGUAUGCCUCAGAUUGGUUGAUUUCGAGUGCCUUCAGAUUUAUCAAGGUAGUGGUUGGACAUUCAUGCAUCUGAAGUUCACCUUUAUCUUUCUAUAGUAGUUAUAUCUUUAUUUGUACUCAGAGAUAAGUGUUGACCUUGUGUGGACAUUUCUGAUAUAUUUGACCCAUGGUUUGUAUUAGUAGUUCUUACACUAUUGACACCUGAUUUUGGGAAUGUAUGGUAUUUGGAUGUUCUUUCCGCAUUGUAAUACUUACUUUUAUAGUUCAGUUUCAUUCUAGAAUCCUUACCUUGGGGUAUUUUUGUCUUUUCUUCUUUUUAUAUCAGUUUGGGUGAUAGACUUACUUAUCAAGGUACGCCGCGAUAAGUGCCAUCAUGACCCUCGUUUUUAGGCUGCGACAGAAGUACUCUUGAACUAGAUGGACAUAAGUUGCGGCCCCCACAACACAUAGUAUAUACUUGAUUUUAAGCAACCACCGCGAUACUAUAAAGUGCUUUUAUGAUCAUGCACAGAAAUCUUGGGUCUCAUAAGUACUCUAGAAAGACGACCCAAGUCUUUCAUAAAAUAUGAUCAACCCUUUACACUCACGUAGAUGAUCCAUCAAGUCUAUCUCAUAGACCACCUUAAGGCUAUGGAUCAUUAAGAGCAGAAUUAAGCUCAACCUUAUAAUAAACUACCUCAGGCCAUAGGGAUAGAAAUGUGGUGUUUAUUGAAGGCUUUUAUAGCUUCGCUUGACUAUAAAUAAGUAUCCAUCAUACUACCUCAAUUCAUGGGCUUUAGUACCAUCCCCAUCGAUGAUUCAAGGACUAUUUUUCUUGUCAAAUCCUUUUUCAUAGGAUCCUUCAAAUUUCUUUCGGACCUUACGUAUUCCAAGAACGUAAUAUCAUGUUUCAAUAAUUGUUUAACUGCACUUUGUCUGGUGUGAAUAUGUCUUCUUAUUCAUUGUAUACACUAUUUUUAGCUUUCUCAAUUGUCGUCUAUGAGUCACAAUGUAAAGAGACUAGUGAAGUUUGUCUUCCCCAUAAAGGCAUAUCUAUAAAAAGGUUUCUUAGUCAUUUAGUUUCUUGCGACGCCUACUCGAGAGCAAUGGUAGAACAUGAUAUACAAGUCUACUUUGAAGACUUCUAUGAAAUAACACUUGCACCCAAAGUAAAUAUAUAGUCAUUGGUGGAGCUAACUUCACCAUUGUCAGUUACCCAGUUUGCAUCACAAAAAUCUUCUAAAAUAAUAGAAAUUUAUUUAAAUGCAAAUACCAAUCCAUAGUACCUCUCAGAUACCUUAAUAAGCGAUAAAAAGAAUCUCAAUGUUUAUUAUUGAAUUAUGAGUAUAUCUACUUAAUCUGCUAACAACAUAAGCUAUAUCAGAUCGGCUAAAGUUCAUAAGAAACAUUACACUUUUAAUUAUUUUAGCAUAUCCAAUUUGAGAAAUUCUUGAAUCUUUAUUCCUUUUUAAGUGUAUGCUAGAAUCGUAAGAAGUUCUCACUGAAACUAAAACAAUCAAACAUUUAUAAUAUGUUUUCAAUAUAACGAGACUGAUAUAAAGAGAAACUAUUAACAAUUCUAUUGAUUUUAAUUCCUAAAAUCAUAUUAGCUUCUCUAAGAUCUUUCAUUUCAAAUUUAGAAAAUAAAAAUUUCUUAGUCUCAUUUACAAUAUUCACAUUAGGGUCAAAGAUUAACAUUUCAUCCACAUACAAAUAUAUAAUCACUCAAUCUUAUUUGGUCAUUUUAGAAUAAACACAUGUAUCAGAUGAAUUAACAACAAAGCCAUUAUCCAUUUAUGUAAAAUCAAACUUUUCAUACCACUGUUUAUGUGCCUGCUUAAGUCCAUAUAAGAAUUUUCUCAAUUUGCAUACUUUAUUGUCGUACCCUAGAACCAUAAAACCCUUAAGUUAAGUCAUAUAGAUCUCUUCAUCUAAAUUACUAUUUAAAAAUGUAGUUUUGAUAUCCAUUUGGGGUACUACUAAACUAUGAAUAAUGGCUAGAUAAAUAAGAGUCCCAAUGGUCGCUAUUUUAGUCACAGGAAAAUAAAUAUCAAAAUAAUCAACACUUUUUUUGACUAAAACCUCCAAUCACAAGUCUAGCAUUAUAUUUGUCAAUUGUGCCGUCAGACCUCAAUUUCUUCUUAAAUAUCCACUUGCUACUUAUGAUUUUACAACCUUUAGACAAAUAAUACAAGUCCCAAGUGUGAUUAGAGAUUAUAUAGUCUAAUUUACUUUUAAUAGCCUCUUUUCAAAAUAUUGUAUCUAUUGAACAUAUUGCUUCAUCGUAAGUAGGGUCUUCUUCUAUUAGGUAAAUAGACAGUAAUUCAUCAUUUGAAGUAUCGAUAGCAAAAUCCUCAGUUAAGAAGAUAGUGAUAAAAUCGAGAUCAAAACUAGUCUUAAUUUUACGUUUUUUACUCAUUCUAAGUUAAUUUUCAUGCUCGUUAGAAUAACAUUAGAUGCAGGCAUAAAAUGAGAGUUAACAAACAUUGAUAUAGAAGUAUUAUUUUUCACAUCACUAGACACAUCAUUUUUCAAAGAAAAAAUAUGCUCAAAAAAUUUUGCAUCUCUAGAUUCACAAAUAUACUAAUAAUUUAAUGACAUAAACCUAUAUGCAAUACUAUUUUGAGUAUAAUUGAUAAAGACAGUUUCAAAAGUCUUAGAACCUAUAUUUACCCUUUUAAAAUCAGGUAGAUCAAUCUUAUCCAAAUACUUACACACUUUCAAAAAUUUUGAGUUAGGGGCAAACCCUUUCCACAACUCAUAUGAGGUCUUGUCUAACUUUUUUAUGGGGGACUCUAUUAAGAUAUAGCAUGCGUAUAAGGCAAAUUUCCCCCACAUAUAGUCAGGUGGCCCCGAGAUUAAAAGCAUAAAAUUCAUCAUUUUCUUAAGGAUUCUAUUCUUUCAUUCGGCCACACUAUUUUGUUGAGAAGUAUAGAAAGCACCGAACUCAUAGAUAAUACUAUUUUUCUCAUCAAAUCUUCUAGAAUUUUAGUAUUAUGUUCACUGAUCUUGUCAGACCCAAAUCUCUUGAUUUUCAUGUCUAAUUGAUUUUCUACUUCUGCUUUAAAUUUUAAAAAUAUUCUUUCAAUCUCAUCUUUAGACUUAAGGAGAUAUACCUUAGUGUACCUAGAAAAAUCAUCAACAAAAAUAAUAUAAUACUUAUUUUCUUUAAAAAAAAAAGUAAUACUUCUUUCUACCUUUGCUAACAAUGUUCUUGAAAUCUGCUAAAUCUAAAUAUAGUAGUUCAAGCAAUUCGGUCUUCCUACUAGUAGCGUAUUUAAAAUAUUUUUUGGCAUGCUUUACUUCUACACACACAUGAUAUUUAGAAAUAUCAUAAAUAUUUACUGCAGGAAUUAAUGUCAUUUUUCUAAUUCUUUUAAUAGAAGCAAUAUUAGCAUGACCUAGUCUACGAUGUGAUAAAUUGAUAGACUCGGCAAUAUAACCAGAAUUAGAAAUACUUAAAUUAUUGGUGUUCUAUAGUGUUUAGUAUAAACAAAACCCCACUAAGGUAUCCCUUUAUAACAAAGUCUCCUUCACGAGAAAUAAUUAUUUUAUCAACUUCAAAAUAAGUUUAAAUCCUACUUUAUUGAGAAGUGCUCCAGAAACUAAGUUUUUAUGGAGGGAGGAAACAUAUAGAAUAUUGAUCAAGACUAAUGUUUUACCAGAAGUUAAUUUAAGAAAAAAAUGUAUUUACCCAUAACUCCAGCGGUAGUGGAGUUAUCUAUGUAGGCACACUCGCCAUUAAUGAACUCAACAAAAUCAUGGAAUAACUCUUUAUUGAUGCAGAAAUACCUUGAAACACCUAUGUUCAAUACUCAGUCAAUUUUAUUAGCCACCAGAUUUGCCUUGAUGACUACUGCAACGAUCACUUCAUCACCGUUAGCAAGAUGAACUUGGACAUCAUUUAAUCCUCCCUAUUUUGAGUUUUAUAAAAUAUCCCAUAUUUAUUUAGCAGAUUUGUAAGUAACAAAUAAAUCAGACUAAGUAUUAGUCAUAUGACUCAAUAAAUAUUCUUUAGCAUUCUUGCUAUCUUUUUAAACUUUCUUUACAGGUUCAUCAACCACCAUAAUAGUGUUAGAAUUAUUAGUAAUGUUAGAACCAUCAGUAGGUGGUUCAUUAAACAAAACAUAAUCAACUUCUAAUUGUUCUAAGAAAAUCAAAAGUUUUUGUGACCAACGUUUAAAAUUAUUUUCAUACAAUGACUCAAGUUUUGAUAAAUUAGGAAAAGUUCUAUAAAAAAAUAACCUCCUUAUCAAUAUUGUAUAUAACAAAAUUGCUUUCAAACUGUUGAAAAAAAUACUACAACAUUGAUAUGAAACUAAAAUUAAUGAUAGCAAGAGAAUAGUCACAAAUACUGCAUAUUUUCUAUGUUUUCUGCAUAUUUAGCUUACAAAUCAUGCUUUUUAAAUAGGUAUAUCAUUUAUGUUUCAUCCAUCAAAAGAGUUAAAGUAGACAAACAUAGUUAAUGUAUAAUGUUACUCUUGAAUUUAAUGACAAAGUCAUAAAAAAAAAUAACUUUCAAGGCUUUUGAAUGUCUCUUCAUUCAAAAAGUUACAUUUAUCAGAAAUCAUCAUUUGAAUGAAUGUAUAAUAUUUAUGAAGUACUAACUCUCUCAUCUUACAAACUCUUAUAAAUUAGAAAUGUUUACACAAAUUUAUUAUAGAGAAUUACAAGAUGUUUUUAUUCUUUGCAUUAAUUAAGAAGAAAUUAUCCUUCAAUGUACUAUACAAGAUUUUGAUAGGACAUUUGUUUAUAUAAUAUUCUAAAUUGAUGGAAGUUCUACUCAAAUUCUAUAAUUAAUUAAUGGUGCAAUAUAAAGUUAAGUCUUAAAGAAUUUGGAGGAAUUAAUUCAUAAUGGGCAUAAAUUAUAACGAAGGAAAUAAUCAAUGUUAUGGGUAUGAAGCUCUAUGUAAAUGCUAAUGGCUCCAUUAUAUUCAUUAUUACACUUACGUUUAUUAAUUCUUUACGAAGGAGACAAUUGUCGUUUUUUAACAUGAAAUUGAGAAGAAAAUAUCAAAAAAGGAGAAAAAUAAAAAUACAAAUAGAAUCCAUUGAAAGGUGCCACGUCAACAAAUCUAUAUUCUGCUUUAUUAUUAUAUAUUGAUUGUUGUAUCUUUCUCUUUGUGUUCCAACAAUCUAAGAAGUUGCGACAAACAGUACCUUUUUGUAUAACUUUUGCUAGUAUUGUUGUUGAUGUUGUCCUUGAUUGUCCAUAUUUCAGUCAUCUUGCAGAUGCUUAUAGUAUUUCAAAAUACAUAUAUGUAAAUAGACACAAUUAUAAAUUUAAAGAAACACUAAAAUCUUCAUUAAAAGUACACCUUGAUGCACUAAAUAUUUGUGAGAAAUGAUAAUCCUGCUAAGUCAAAAAUAAUUUUAAUUUAAGCAGGAGCUAUAAUUAUUUUGGUAAUUUUUCAAGUAAAUGUUGAGUUCAAUGUGAAAAAAUGAAUAAUAAAUUCUCAUGCUGCGAGACAUAUUUGCAUAAAUAAAAAUAAUUUUGUGUCUUACACCUAAAUUAAGGAGGAAGAAAAAAUUAUUUAUCUUAGUGACUCAAAAACAACUUUAAAGUUUGAAAGAAAAUACAUAGUGCUAAUAUCACUAAUUUGAUUUUAUAGGACUAUGAAAAAAAGUUAUAGUGAAACUUACUUUGAAGAUGAUGAGUUUUUGUUGAAGAAACAUAAUGCUAUGACAAAGCAAAAUGUUUUGUAAUCAUAACCUAUUUGUGCUAAUAUUUAUGAUGUUGUCAGUAAAGAUGCAUCUACUUUUAUUUAUAUGAUUGUUUAUUUUUUGAUAAUAUGCGAGAUUAAGACAUGUUGAUGUCUCAUACAUAAAAAUAUGCAAUCAUAUUUUAGUUUGAUGUAUGAUUUAGAUUCAAAUAAUACUGACUAAUGUGAAAUACAUGGUCAGGCUAAAAUUACUAAAAGGUAACAUUUUCAAUAAAUAGUCAAAAUGAAUUACUAUCAUGUCUUAGUUUUGAUAUAUAGUUUAGAUUUAAAUAAUAUUGAUUAAUGUGAACUAUCUAUUGAAGCUAAAAAUACUAAAAAGUUAUAUUUUCAGUAAAUAGUUAAAUGAAUUACUGUCUUCAAUUUAGGCGAAUUUAAGCAAUUUGAAAUAGAGAAUGUCUAAAGAUGUAAAAGAUGUUAUGUGAUUUUUAUUGAGUUUUUAAAAGAAAAUUAGGGGUAGAAGAAAGGAAAGAAGAAAUAGGGAGAAUGAAUUACAAUAUGAGAAAUAAAACCCUCAUCAACAAGAUGAAAAUUCAGGUAUCCAACUAACAUUAUCAAGAUUUUUCAACUUUUAUUGACAAUCUUUCUAAUUUUACCAAAUUGUAUUUACUUAAAAAUAAAUAUGAUUCUUACGAUAUUUUUAUUUUUUAUAAAGCUAAGAUUGAAUAUUAAUUUACUAGAAAGUUCAAGAGGAGCAGACCUUAUAGAUAAGGAGAUAUUUAUAUUUAAAUAUUUUUUUAUGAAAAAGAUGAAAUUAUACUACUUUACUCACUUAAGUCUUAUGGAGUUGUUGAAAGAAAAAAUAAGACAUUAAAGAAAAUAAUGAAUUCAUGUCAAUAGUCAUAACACAUAUGAUAAUUUGUGGGGUGAAAUUAACAUGCAUAUAUGUCUCUUAAAAAAUAAGAUUCAUCAUAAAAUCUGACAAAACCUCUUAUGCAUUAUAAAAAAUUAUAAAUCCAACUUGAAAUAUCUGAAAGUAUAAAAAUAUCUUGUUAAAAUUCUUUUACCCAUAAAAGAGAAGAUAAGAUCUAAAAAUGUUGUUUGCAUACUUGUGUUGAAUAUCGAUUUCUUGUUUUGAAAAUUAACAUAUUUGAACGCAACACUUUAAUUGAGACAAAUAUAUUGAAUUCUUUAAAUAUGUUUUCUCAGUAUGUGAUAAAAAUUUACAAGCACCAGUUGAUAAGAAUAAUGAGAUUAUCUUUAAUAAGGAAUUAAAAAGAGCAAACGACUUACAAUUUUUUUCUUGUGAAGAUGAUUUUCAAACUUCUCAUAGUGAUAAUGAAUCAUCAAAAUUGUGACAUCAUAUCUUCUUCUGAUGUUUUUUUAAGGCAGAAUACAUCGUUAGGCCUCUCAACUUGACACCAUCUUUCACUUUGGCACCUCAAAUGAACAUUGUUCACUUUAGACACCUAAAAUAAGGUCCAACUGUGUUAUUUUGACACUUUUUACUGACUUGGCGACUUGUCUGAUUUUCACCUCAACUAAGCGCGUGAAGAGCCUAAAAAUAAAUUAAAAAAAUUAUUUUUUAUUCUUUUUAUUUCCUUCUUCUUUCUUUCUUCUUUUUCUCUUUCUUCUCUAUUUAAGAUUCUAUCAUUAACAAAUUAUCCACCAUUGUUAAAUUGUUCAAUAAAAAAAUAAGAUCACUAACAUUCUCUUAAAACACGUAAUACUUUCUUUUGCGUAAAAUCAGAAUCAAAAAUAAAUUUUAAGUUCUUAAAAAAAUCAUCAAAAAAAAAAUCCUAUGAAACUCCAUUUUUCUUUCAAGAUUUUAUACCAAUAUGUUACUAUAUUAAUGCAGUUAAAAAUUUCAUUUGUUAAUUAAAACUAGACAAAAACAAAUUAAAAGAAAAGAAAAGAGGUGCAUAAUGAGAAGAAAUUAAAACUGAAUUUCAAGAAAUUUCUGACAAACACUUUAUUUUUUUGACAACAAUCAUACAAUUAAUAAUCCAUUUCCUUUGCAAAUUUCUCUUCCUCAAAGACUUGCAGAAAUACAUUUAGGGAAGGAAAUCCAGAUCAAUUCCAAGUUGCUCUGUACUCAAAGGCAAGUCAUAAGGACAACAAGACAAAACAAAAGAUAACUUUGACAAAAUUAUAUAGACUAUCAGUAAUGUUUAACUUCAGAAUUACACAAUCCAAGACACAAUGGUGAAGAUUUCUAAAAGUAGUAUGAAUGCGGUUUUUUUUUCUUAAAAUGAAUAUGAAACACUAAAUUUAAUCCUAGAGAAAAAAAAAUAUACAACAAUGAAAUAUUUUAAGUGGCUUUAGUCAAAAUGCACUAAUGUUCGGUGUUGCAGAUCGCGAUUCGGGAGCGGUUUUGGUGGGUUGGAGAAGACAAUUUGGAAGGUGGGUGAGUGGGGGGAGGGGGAGGGUGGAGAAAACAAUUUGAGGGUAGGGGUGGCAGCAGACGUUUUGAGGGUGGGGUUUGUUGGGAAGAUGAUAUAGCGUGGGGGUUGUUGGGGAAGAUGAUAUGGGGAUGGGGUGGGGUUAUUAAUAUUUUUUUAAUUCAAAUUAAUUAUAUAUAAUUUUUAUAAAAAUGACAAAUGUUCUUUUAUAACUGGUCGCUUUUCAUGUCAUAACGCUUGUAAUACACACAUAAUAUAUAUUUUGUUGGCUCAGCAAAUAGUAUCAAAAUGACAUACUUUAUAGCUAUUUGAGGAGUCAAAAAUGAACAAUAUCCAUUUGAGGUGUCGAAGUGAAAGAUGACAUCAACUUGAGAGGUAUGACGAUGUAUUUUUCCUUUUUUAAAUAGGAUUGAGAAGAAAAAUGAGAAGGAGAUUACUAUAUGAAUAAUUGAACCCUCAUCAAUAAGGUAGAAGUUCAGAUAACCAAUCAAUUGAACUACUAAUCUUCUUCUAAUAUUAAAUGUUGGAAAGAGAGAACAAAAGUAGCGAUUAAUUUUAUCUUGAAAAUAAAAUAUGAAUUUUGACUGAUUUGCCUCUUAGUGAAAAAUUUGAUUGUAAAUGAAUUUGGGAAAGAAAAUUUAAUCCCGAUAGAUGUAUAGAUAAACAUAAAAUCUAUUUAGUAGCAAAAUAUUUAUUCAGAAAUAAAAUAUUGAUUAUUUUUACGUAUUUGCACUGGUGACUAAAAUUUAUGCUAUUCAAGUUAUAAUUUUCUUCGUCUCUAUUCAUAAGUUUUAUAUUCAUCAAAUAAAAACAAUAAUCUUUUAAAUGGUGAUUUAGAUGAAGUUUUUUAUAUGAUUCAAUAUGAGGGAUAUAUUAUUAAAUCAACUUUUAAUUAAAAGGUGGCGUGACAAAUUUAAUAAGCCUUAAUGAGAGUUCUGAGUUAGACAAAUUCGAAACUCAAAUUUUUAAAUUUUGACCUCCCACUAACAAAAAACAUUUCGAGUGAAUAGUACACCAAAAGAUUCUAAACAUUGAGGCGAACUUAUAUCUAAAAUUUGAGAUUGUUGUUGUAAUUAUAAAUAUUAUAUAAACAAUGUGUGUGUAUGUGUAUAUAUACACACACAUCUCUCGUAUAUAGUUAUACAUUAUAUAUACAUAAUCAUACACUAUUGAUAUAAUAGUGAUACAUUAUGUGUACAUGUGUAUUUUUAUUGAAGUUUUUUUGUCAUAUGCACAGCUACGUAAGAAGCCAAUAACUUUCAGACAGAUCAAUAAUCCAUCCAUUUAUUAACUCAAUCCAUCUUAACCUACCUGAGUUUAGUUCGACUCGCCCAUUUAUCACCUCUGUUAAUAUUACCUUUUGAGAGUAGAUCAAGGAGAUUUCGUCCCUUCACCUAUAUUUUAUCUGUUCAACCCUUUCACCUUUUUACUUUUGCAAGGAAUACUUUUCAUGUUUUUUUUUUUUUUUUUUUUUUUUUUUUUUUUUUUUUUUCUAAUUAGUGGAGUUCAGGAAAUUUCUUGCGCAAAAGUAGUAUUUCAAAUACAAAGACCAUUUGACUUAUUACAUAUUAAAACGACUGAAUACUACUGUGAUUCUUUUAUUUCUAAGACCGAAAAACCUGAACAUUCUAGCUAGUUUAGACUAAUUUCCUGCUGCAAUACGCUGUAUAAGUGUAUAUCUAAGCUGUUGUGUAAUAGGCUGAAAAAGAUUCUGACUUAGCUUAAUUAAUCCUACUCAAGCUGCUCUUUUUCAAGGAAGAUCACUUAUUCAAAUUGUUCUGAUUAGUCAUUACCUUAUGAUACAUUAUAAUAGGAAGACAACUCCAAGAUGUUUGAUGGAAAUUGCCCUCAGGAAGGCCUAUGACAUAGUACAAUGGGACUUUAUUGGUGAAAUACUGCAGGGGUAUGGCUUCCCACGUAAGUUUGUUCAGCUAGUCAUGGUUUGUGUCACUACAACCACUUAUAUAAUCAAAGUGAAUGGUGAAGGAUGUGGAUGUUUUGCAGGAAGAAGAGGGUUGAGGUAAGGAGACCUCAUUUACCUUUGGACUGGUUAUGGAGUACUUGCAAAAAGCGGCAACUAACACACCUUACCUUUGCAGAUGAUCUGACGAUCUUCUGCAGAAGGCAUGAAGCUUCAGUUAGCAGGAUCAUGGAAGCUUUAAAGCACUUUUCUGCCACUACUGGUUUAGCAGCAAAUCAUGACAAAUCCAAUGUGUUUUUAGCUGGAGUUAAGAGUGUGGUUCAACAGAGAAUAUUGUCUAUCACUAGGUUUCAAAUAGGGAAACUACCUAUUAGAUACCCUGGGUUGUCCCUUUCUCACAAGAAAUAGACCAAGACUGACUAUCAUUAAUUAACAGGAUUACUGAUAAGUUAAAAGCUACUUCAAAUAGACAUUUAUCUUAUGCUGGCAGGCUACAAAUUGUGAACUCGGUCUUAUUUGGUUUGUAAGAUUUUUGGAGUUUAGUAUUGAUUCUUCCUCAGAGUGUGGUCAAGAUAGUGGAGGCUAAAAAGUUUCUUUAGUCAAGUGGAACACAAUAUGCUGCUCAGGGUGGGCUAAACAUCAAAUGUUGUAAAGUUUGGAACAUUGCAGCAGUAGGAAAACAGAUUUGGCGGUUGCACAAAAAGAAGGAAGCAUUAUGGGUGCAAUGAUUCAGUAGCAUCUAUAUGAAAGAGGGAGGUAAUUUUUAUACUCAUGUACCCUCUCAGUACUGUAGCUGAUACUGGAAACAAUUAAACGAGGUAAAGCUUGGUAUACAAACAUGGUACAAUUAGGAUAGAUACAUCCUUACUGAAUCUGGAACGUAUUCCAUCUCAAAAAGUUAUGUUGAUCUUGUGGGAGUGAGGAGUCUUUGUAGGGGCUCAAAAAUGAUCUGGAGCAAGGUAUUACUUCCUAAAAGUAAAUUUAUUUUAUGGCUAGCGUGCAAGGUAAGUUGCUUACUAAAGAGAAUGUAGAGACUUGGUAUCGGCAUAGAUAGCAGUGUCUGUGUCCUCUCCGAGCAGCAAUAGGUGGAGGAUGCCACACAUUUAUUUUGUGCAUGUGAGAUAGCAAGUGCAUUAUGGCAUAGACUAACAAGUUGGCUGGGAGUAACCUUGCAUAAUCGGGGUGUGUAACAAACCAUACAAUUGAUUAGAAAGAAGAGAUGGAAGAAGUUUAAGGAAGAAAUUAUUGUAGCAGGUUUUGGAGCGGUGGUACAUGGUCUUUGGUUAGUCAGGAAUGGGAAAAUCUCCAGGAACCAUAAUGUUAAUAUAGAUUUUAUAUACAACAAAUACAGUUUGUUGUGAAGGAGAGAGUCAUAAUGCAUAAAGAGUCCAAGUUUACUAAAAGAUGUAUGGGUUUUGUGGAUGUAGGUUGUGCUUAGUGUCCCUGAGGCUUGAUCAGUUCGAUCCUUGACUAGGGAUUGGCUGAUUUUUUGCUCUUCAGGUGUACUCAAUUUGCAUGGUUAUGGUAAUAUUUUUAUUUUAUUGCCAAAAAAUAUAGUUAGUGUUGAUAUAAACAAGUAAACAUAAGCUUUAGCUCAAGGACGUAGCAGUUAGUACAGUUAGUUAAUUACUGUGCAUACUAACUUUGUGAAAAGUUAUAGUCUGAAAGUUAGUUGACACUAGAAGCUUAUUAACUCAUGUAUUAUAUACCUCUAUUGUACAUACUUUCCACAGUUUAUUAAAUACAAUCAGGAUUCAUUUUUACUCCUUAACAGUUACUUAUCUUCUUCCUCUCUUUUCGUCGUCUUCUUUAUUUUGUCUGCUUUUCUAUUUCUUUCUCCAUUGCUUCAAGAUAUGAAGCUUUAUGAUUUUCAUGAUCAUUAAUCUAUAAUCUAUGAAUUUUUCAUGGUAUCAAAGCCACACGAUCCACCUAUCUUCUGUGAUUAAAUCUUGAAAUUCUUUGUUACUUAUGACUACAACAAUCGAUUCUGGAAAUUACUUCUUGAUUCAGUUAUAUUUUACUCUGUUCUUUGAGUUAUCUCUCUGAUUCUUACUCUAUUUUACUUCUCAAAAUAAUCAAUUGACAAUCUUGUGAUCACCUUAUUGAAUUGAGUCACAAAUAGAUAUAAUUUCAAUCCCUGAAAGAGAAAUUUCUCAUCAAACUCUAAAGAAUGGAAUCUGCAAAUACUUCUGGAAAUGGAGCAGGAGUCACUCCUGCAACCACUAAUUCUACUUAGGCUUUGGGUCACAAUCAUCCAUUGUACUUGUACUCCACUGAUGUAAGUGGUAUUUGUUUGAUCUUUCUACAACUUACUAGUUCUAAAAACUACUUUUUAUGGAGUAAGUAUAUGAGAAUUGCUCUAUUGGAUAGGAGUAAGCUAAGUUUGUUGAUGGUUCUUGGAAGAAAGAACGUUUUAGUGCUGAUUUAGCCUAUUAAUGGGAACUAUGUAAUGUUAUAGUCCAGUCUUGGUUGAUGAAUACUAUAUCUGGUACUUUGCUAGGGGGAAUGGUGUAUGCUACUACAACAUGUGAAGUAUGAGAGGACUUGAGAGUAAGGUUUGAUUGAUGGUGUAAGAACAUUCGACCUGCAUAAGGAAAUUGCUACCUUAGUGCAGGGUAUUGUCUGUAGCCACAUAAUUCAACUUGGUUGAAAGAGUUAUGGGUAGUGCUUGAGGCAUUGGUAUUCCCUCCAAGUUGUAAUUGUCAAAAAAUCUAGAGAAUUCUUGUUCUAUCUGCAGAGACAGAAGUGUUAACAAUUCUUGACGGGCUUGAAUGAUAACUAUGUGCAAUCAAGAAGCCAGAUACUUAUGAUGGCUUUCUUACCCUCUGUGAAUCAGGAUUAUGUAUUAUCAUUAGUGUCGAGUCAUAAAAAUCUAGCUUAUGCCAUAAUCAUUAGUGAUGAGUCACAGAAAUCUAUGUCCUCGGCCUCAUUUGCAGUACUUUUUGGUGUAAUCCAGGCAUCACAUGUCCAUGAUCCUACUUUAAUUUAUUCUAAAACUGUAAACUCAAAGUUCAAGAAGAAUUUCAACUGUUAGCCCAUAUGUUAUUGGGCCUUUAGUUUAUGGACCUUUAGGUUAUUUGGCUAUGUAUAUAUAUAGCCUACUUUUGUUUUAGUUAUUUUUCAUGCUUUUCAGAUUAUAUUAUAAACCUUAGCCUUUCUUUCUUUCAAUAAAGUUCUAUUAACAUGGUAUCAAAGCUAGUUUGAUCCAUGUCCUUUGAUUUGUUGGUUGAAGAUUUUGUAGCAGGCACCUACUGCGCGGAUCGAACUCCGCGGUGAGUUCGCUGGGGGGUACGGGGGGCAGCGCGCCCCCGUCCGGGGUUCGGGGCGGAGCCCCGAAUUUUUUUUGAGGUGCUGCUGUAUUCGUUUGCUAUUUUCGUUGGGUUUUUUGGUUGGAUUGAUUCGUUGCUGUCUUCGUUUGCUGUCUGGUAUUGUUCGUCUUUCGUUCUUUUGCUUGCUGCCAUUGUUGUUCGUUCGGAAUUGUUCAACCUAGGGUUUUGCAUCUUUUUGUUUUUUGAAUUGUUUGUGUGUUGCUGUGUUUACAAUGACUGGAAAGGAUGAUUCUCUCCAGUCCAUUAGUACUCAAUUAGAUGGUAAGAACUAUGCCUAUUGGAGUUAUGUCAUGAAGAAUUUUCUUCGUGGGAAGAAUAUGUGGGGUUAUAUCACUGGAGUAAAACCAAGACCUAUCGAUGAUAAAACUGAAAAUUUUGAUUUGUUGGUGGACUUAUGGGAAACUAAUAACUCCAAGAUUAUCACUUGGAUCAACAAUUCUGUAACUCAGUCAAUUGGUAUGCAAUUGGCUAAGUAUGACACAGCAAAGGAGGUCUGGGAUCAUUUGGAAAGACUGUACACUCAGUCUAAUUUUGCUAAGCAGUACCAGUUGGAGUAUGAUAUCCGUGCUCUUCAACAGCAUGAUCUCAGUAUUCAAGAUUUUUAUGCUGCCAUGUCGGAUUUGUGGGAUCAAUUGGCACUUACUGAAUCUGCAGAGUUAAAAGGUUUUGGGCCGUACAUUGCUAGACGGGAAGAGCAACGCUUGGUUCAGUUUUUGAUGGCACUACGUUCUGACUUUGAGGGCCUACGUGGAACAAUCCUUCAUCGAUCUCCCCUCCCUACUGUUGAUUCUGUGGUUCAUGAACUGAUUACAGAGGAGACUCGUAUCAAGUCUCAAGUGGAUAAAGGGUCUAAAGUAACUACUACUCCUGUCGUGUUUGCUGCUUCAACUGAUCAGUCUAGGCCACCACGUACUCAGACUCGACAAUCUCCUAAAGUUGCAUUUGAUGAGUGUGCAUUCUGCAAACAGAAAAAUCAUUGGAAGGCUCAGUGUCCGUUGUUACUUAACAAGGUCAAACAGCCUCAAUCUGGGCAGCAACAGAAAUAUGGGCAGCAAAAGUCUCCGUCACGCUCCUCUGGUGCUCCUCCAUGGUCAUCUCGUCCUCCACAGUUCGCUGCUGCUGCACCAUCUGUAGAUGUUGAGUCUGUUAGCACUAUGCCACCUUCUGCGUUGGAUCCCCAGGUUUUCGAACAGUUCAGACAGUUCUUCGUUUCUAAUCCUACGGCCAUGUCAGCAUCUAUGUCUCAUUCGGGUUCAGUUUCUUCUAGUACCUCAGGUAUUCCUUCCUCCUUGUGGAUAUUGGAUUCUGGUGCGUCUCAUCACAUGUCCCCUCAUUUGUCAUCGUUUGGUUCUUUGUCACCCAUUUCACCAAUCUCUGUUAUGUCCGCGAGUGCUGUACCUAUGUCAGUCGAGGGUGUUGGUUCUGUUACUACCCCUCACAUUGUCCUCUCUGAUGUUUAUUACAUUCCCAAACUUGCUUUAAAUCUUGUUUCGGUCAGUCAGUUGUGUAAGGCUGGUAAUUGGGUGUUUUUUUCUGAUUCUGUUUGUGUUAUACAGGACCAACACACUCAGAGGGUGAUUGGGACCGGCCGUAGGUUGGGGGAACUCUAUGUCUUGGAGAAUCUCAAAGUGUCUGUAGUUGCUGCCUCUAGCAUAGAUUUAUCUUCUUUUCGUUUGAGUCCUUUGUCUUCUCAGUUUUAUCUUUGGCAUUCCAGAUUAGGACAUGUGUCAGUUUCACGUUUACGUUUUUUGGUCUCUAGUGGUGCUUUGGGUCAUGUGAACACUAGUGAUAUUUCAGAUUGUAGUGGUUGUAAACUGGCAAAAUUUUCUGCCUUACCGUUUAAUAAAAGUGUGUCUUAUUCUGUUGCUCCUUUUGAUAUUAUUCAUUCUGAUGUAUGGGGACCAGCGCCAGUAUCCACUAAGGGUGGAUCGACCUAUUAUGUUUCGUUUAUAGAUGACUAUACUCGUUAUACCUGGGUGUAUCUUAUGAAACGCAGAUCUGAUUUCUUUGGCAUUUACAACAACUUUAGAGCCCUUGUUAAAACACAACAUUCGGCUGUGAUAAAGUGUUUCAGGUGUGACUUAGGGGGUGAAUAUACCUCUAAUGACUUCACUCAGUUACUUGCCUCUGAUGGUACCAUACACCAGUCAUCUUGUACCGACACUCCUGAGCAGAACGGUCUGGCAGAAAGAAAACAUCGUCAUAUUGUUGAGACAGCACGCUCUUUACUUUUGUCUGCAGAGGUUCCUAGUAUUUUUUGGGGAGAAGCAGUUCUAACUGCUGUAUAUGUGAUUAAUCGUAUUCCUACUGCAUUGACUUCAGGGAUGUCUCCGUUUGAGAAACUAUAUGGUCACCCGCCGAAUUAUUCUGCAUUACGAGUUUUUGGAUGUACUUGCUUUGUUCUUCGUCCUCAUGUUGAACGAAAUAAGUUAGGGUCAAAAUCAGCUAUAUGUGUGUUUUUGGGGUAUGGUAUUGGACAAAAAGGAUAUCGUUGCUAUGAUCCUGUAAGUCAGAAAUUAUAUGUUUCACGACAUGUCACUUUUUUGGAACAUAUUCCUUUUUAUUCCAUUCCAGCUAAAACCCAUGAUGUGACAAAGUCAGAUAUUCGGCUUAUUGAUCCCUUUGGGAUUGACAUAGAGGUUCCAGUUCCGGAUUCAUCCAUGCCAUCUGGUGUGCCACCUGAUAGUGCUUCAGCCUCGCCUGUGCCUGAGUCUGCUCCUUCGACUGUUGAGACUGGAGACCCACCACCUCUGAGGAGGUCUACUCGACCUUGUAAGUCCACCAAACUGCCAGAUUUUUACUAUUCUACAUAUUCAGCCUCAUUUGCUUCCUUUAUUGCAAACAUACAUCAUUUGUCUGAACCUGAGUCGUAUAGAGAGGCUGUGUCUGAUCCUCUUUGGCAGAAUGCUAUGGCUGAGGAACUUGCUGCUCUUCAUCAUACACAUACAUGGGAUUUGGUUACUCUCCCACCUGGUAAGCAUGCGAUUGGUUGUCGAUGGGUGUAUAAGAUAAAAACAAAAUCUGAUGGGUCUGUUGAGCGAUACAAGGCAAGACUUGUGGCAAAAGGGUAUUCACAACAAUAUGGUAUGGAUUAUGAGGAGACUUUUUCCCCCGUAGCAAAGAUGACGACUGUUCGCACUAUGAUUGCUGUUGCAUCCGUUCGACAGUGGAAGAUAUUUCAGAUGGAUGUCAAGAAUGCUUUUCUGAAUGGUGAUCUCCACGCGGAAGUUUAUAUGACUCCUCCCCCAGGUAUUGACCACCAGCCAGGUGAAGUUUGUCGGCUUCGAAAAGCUUUAUAUGGUCUCAAACAAGCCCCUCGUGCUUGGUUUGAGAAAUUCUCCACUGUUAUUACUUCCCUUGGAUUUGUCCCGAGUAACCAUGAUUCAGCAUUGUUUGUUAGAUGUACAAGUGCAGGGCGAAUUCUAUUGUCCUUAUAUGUAGAUGAUAUGAUUAUUACUGGUGAUGAUCAUAGUGGUAUUGAGUUAUUGAAGCAUGAUUUGGCUCAUCGAUUUGCAAUGAAGGACUUGGGCUUGCUGCGUUAUUUUCUGGGUAUUGAGGUGGCUCAGUCUAAGAAAGGGUAUCUUCUUUCUCAGACUAAGUAUAUAUCUGACUUGUUUACACGGGCGCGUCUUUCUGACAACAGGACUGUAGAUACUCCCCUUGAAACCAAUGCACGUUACUCUCCUAGUGAUGGUGUUCCAUUAUCAGAUCCGAGUCUUUAUCGGACUAUUGUGGGUAGUUUGGUUUAUCUUACGGUUACUCGUCCAGAUAUAGCACAUGCAGUUCAUGUUGUUAGCCAGUUUGUUACUGCUCCUACUUCUGUGCACUGGGGAGCUGUACUUCGUAUUCUAAGGUAUCUUCGUGGCACUCAGUUUCAGAAUCUCUUGUUUCCCUCGACGUCAUCUCUCGAGUUGCGAGCCUAUAGUGAUGCUGAUUGGGAUGGAGAUCGCAAUGAUCGUAAAUCCACCACUGGUUUUUGUGUGUUUCUUGGAGACUCUUUAAUCUCGUGGAAGAGCAAGAAACAAGAUGUUGUCUCUAGAUCUUCCACGGAGGCUGAGUAUCGUGCUAUGGCUGUGACUACAUGUGAGAUUAUUUGGUUACGUUGGCUUCUUGCAGAUAUGGGGGUUCACAUUUCUAUGCCUACUCCCCUGCAUUGUGAUAACAAAAGUGCGGUACAAAUUGCAAAGAAUUCUGUCUUCCAUGAGCGUACGAAGCACAUUGAGAUUGAUUGUCACUUCACCCGUCAUCAUUUACAGCUCGGGACCAUAUCGCUUCCUUUUGUUCCAUCGUCUUUGCAGAUUGCUGACCUUUUUACGAAGGCUCAGUCGGCGUCUCGAUUUCGUUUUUUGUGUGACAAACUCUCAAUGCUUAUUGCUGUUGCAUUGUGAGUUUGAGGGGGGAUGUUAGCCCAUAUGUUAUUGGGCCUUUAGUUUAUGGACCUUUAGGUUAUUGGCUAUGUAUAUAUAGCCUACUUUUGUUUAGUUAGUUUCAGGCUUUUCAGAUUAUAUUGUAAACCUUAGCCUUUCUUCCCUUCAAUAAAGUUCUAUUAACACCUAUAUAGUCCGGUAAUUUGUUCUUUCGUAUAUCCAAAUUCAAUAUUCCAUUUAUGUAUCCAUGGAAUAGAGAAUUCAAUGAAGAAAUACAUCUGAUCGAUCUUAUCUAAAUUACAUACAUGAUCAGAAUGAUAUAAUUCUGUCAGGAAAGGUGAAACUUUAAUCCAUUCUUUAUAUAACUGGAGUAAAACCAAGACCUAUCGAUGAUAAAACUGAAAAUUUUGAUUUGUUGGUGGACUUAUGGGAAACUAAUAACUCCAAGAUUAUCACUUGGAUCAACAAUUCUGUAACUCAGUCAAUUGGUAUGCAAUUGGCUAAGUAUGACACAGCAAAGGAGGUCUGGGAUCAUUUGGAAAGACUGUACACUCAGUCUAAUUUUGCUAAGCAGUACCAGUUGGAGUAUGAUAUCCGUGCUCUUCAACAGCAUGAUCUCAGUAUUCAAGAUUUUUAUGCUGCCAUGUCGGAUUUGUGGGAUCAAUUGGCACUUACUGAAUCUGCAGAGUUAAAAGGUUUUGGGCCGUACAUUGCUAGACGGGAAGAGCAACGCUUGGUUCAGUUUUUGAUGGCACUACGUUCUGACUUUGAGGGCCUACGUGGAACAAUCCUUCAUCGAUCUCCCCUCCCUACUGUUGAUUCUGUGGUUCAUGAACUGAUUGCAGAGGAGACUCGUAUCAAGUCUCAAGUGGAUAAAGGGUCUAAAGUAACUACUACUCCUGUCGUGUUUGCUGCUUCAACUGAUCAGUCUAGGCCACCACGUACUCAGACUCGACAAUCUCCUAAAGUUGCAUUUGAUGAGUGUGCAUUCUGCAAACAGAAAAAUCAUUGGAAGGCUCAGUGUCCGUUGUUACUUAACAAGGUCAAACAGCCUCAAUCUGGGCAGCAACAGAAAUAUGGGCAGCAAAAGUAUCCGUCACGCCCAUCUGGUGCUCCUCCGUGGUCAUCUCGUCCUCCACAGUUCGCUGCUGCUGCACCAUCUGUAGAUGUUGAGUCUGUUAGCACUAUGCCACCUUCUGCGUUGGAUCCCCAGGUUUUCGAACAGUUCAGACAGUUCUUCGUUUCUAAUCCUACGGCCAUGUCAGCAUCUAUGUCUCAUUCGGGUUCAGUUUCUUCUAGUACCUCAGGUAUUCCUUCCUCCUUGUGGAUAUUGGAUUCUGGUGCGUCUCAUCACAUGUCCCCUCAUUUGUCAUCGUUUGGUUCUUUGUCACCCAUUUCACCAAUCUCUGUUAUGUCCGCGAGUGCUGUACCUAUGUCAGUCGAGGGUGUUGGUUCUGUUACUACCCCUCACAUUGUCCUCUCUGAUGUUUAUUACAUUCCCAAACUUGCUUUAAAUCUUGUUUCGGUCAGUCAGUUGUGUAAGGCUGGUAAUUGGGUGUUUUUUUCUGAUUCUGUUUGUGUUAUACAGGACCAACACACUCAGAGGGUGAUUGGGACCGGCCGUAGGUUGGGGGAACUCUAUGUCUUGGAGAAUCUCAAAGUGUCUGUAGUUGCUGCCUCUAGCAUAGAUUUAUCUUCUUUUCGUUUGAGUCCUUUGUCUUCUCAGUUUUAUCUUUGGCAUUCCAGAUUAGGACAUGUGUCAGUUUCACGUUUACGUUUUUUGGUCUCUAGUGGUGCUUUGGGUCAUGUGAACACUAGUGAUAUUUCAGAUUGUAGUGGUUGUAAACUGGCAAAAUUUUCUGCCUUACCGUUUAAUAAAAGUGUGUCUUAUUCUGUUGCUCCUUUUGAUAUUAUUCAUUCUGAUGUAUGGGGACCAGCGCCAGUAUCCACUAAGGGUGGAUCGACCUAUUAUGUUUCGUUUAUAGAUGACUAUACUCGUUAUACCUGGGUGUAUCUUAUGAAACGCAGAUCUGAUUUCUUUGGCAUUUACAACAACUUUAGAGCCCUUGUUAAAACACAACAUUCGGCUGUGAUAAAGUGUUUCAGGUGUGACUUAGGGGGUGAAUAUACCUCUAAUGACUUCACUCAGUUACUUGCCUCUGAUGGUACCAUACACCAGUCAUCUUGUACCGACACUCCUGAGCAGAACGGUCUGGCAGAAAGAAAACAUCGUCAUAUUGUUGAGACAGCACGCUCUUUACUUUUGUCUGCAGAGGUUCCUAGUAUUUUUUGGGGAGAAGCAGUUCUAACUGCUGUAUAUGUGAUUAAUCGUAUUCCUACUGCAUUGACUUCAGGGAUGUCUCCGUUUGAGAAACUAUAUGGUCACCCGCCGAAUUAUUCUGCAUUACGAGUUUUUGGAUGUACUUGCUUUGUUCUUCGUCCUCAUGUUGAACGAAAUAAGUUAGGGUCAAAAUCAGCUAUAUGUGUGUUUUUGGGGUAUGGUAUUGGACAAAAAGGAUAUCGUUGCUAUGAUCCUGUAAGUCAGAAAUUAUAUGUUUCACGACAUGUCACUUUUUUGGAACAUAUUCCUUUUUAUUCCAUUCCAGCUAAAACCCAUGAUGUGACAAAGUCAGAUAUUCGGCUUAUUGAUCCCUUUGGGAUUGACAUAGAGGUUCCAGUUCCGGAUUCAUCCAUGCCAUCUGGUGUGCCACCUGAUAGUGCUUCAGCCUCGCCUGUGCCUGAGUCUGCUCCUUCGACUGUUGAGACUGGAGACCCACCACCUCUGAGGAGGUCUACUCGACCUUGUAAGUCCACCAAACUGCCAGAUUUUUACUAUUCUACAUAUUCAGCCUCAUUUGCUUCCUUUAUUGCAAACAUACAUCAUUUGUCUGAACCUGAGUCGUAUAGAGAGGCUGUGUCUGAUCCUCUUUGGCAGAAUGCUAUGGCUGAGGAACUUGCUGCUCUUCAUCAUACACAUACAUGGGAUUUGGUUACUCUCCCACCUGGUAAGCAUGCGAUUGGUUGUCGAUGGGUGUAUAAGAUAAAAACAAAAUCUGAUGGGUCUGUUGAGCGAUACAAGGCAAGACUUGUGGCAAAAGGGUAUUCACAACAAUAUGGUAUGGAUUAUGAGGAGACUUUUUCCCCCGUAGCAAAGAUGACGACUGUUCGCACUAUGAUUGCUGUUGCAUCCGUUCGACAGUGGAAGAUAUUUCAGAUGGAUGUCAAGAAUGCUUUUCUGAAUGGUGAUCUCCACGCGGAAGUUUAUAUGACUCCUCCCCCAGGUAUUGACCACCAGCCAGGUGAAGUUUGUCGGCUUCGAAAAGCUUUAUAUGGUCUCAAACAAGCCCCUCGUGCUUGGUUUGAGAAAUUCUCCACUGUUAUUACUUCCCUUGGAUUUGUCCCGAGUAACCAUGAUUCAGCAUUGUUUGUUAGAUGUACAAGUGCAGGGCGAAUUCUAUUGUCCUUAUAUGUAGAUGAUAUGAUUAUUACUGGUGAUGAUCAUAGUGGUAUUGAGUUAUUGAAGCAUGAUUUGGCUCAUCGAUUUGCAAUGAAGGACUUGGGCUUGCUGCGUUAUUUUCUGGGUAUUGAGGUGGCUCAGUCUAAGAAAGGGUAUCUUCUUUCUCAGACUAAGUAUAUAUCUGACUUGUUUACACGGGCGCGUCUUUCUGACAACAGGACUGUAGAUACUCCCCUUGAAACCAAUGCACGUUACUCUCCUAGUGAUGGUGUUCCAUUAUCAGAUCCGAGUCUUUAUCGGACUAUUGUGGGUAGUUUGGUUUAUCUUACGGUUACUCGUCCAGAUAUAGCACAUGCAGUUCAUGUUGUUAGCCAGUUUGUUACUGCUCCUACUUCUGUGCACUGGGGAGCUGUACUUCGUAUUCUAAGGUAUCUUCGUGGCACUCAGUUUCAGAAUCUCUUGUUUCCCUCGACGUCAUCUCUCGAGUUGCGAGCCUAUAGUGAUGCUGAUUGGGAUGGAGAUCGCAAUGAUCGUAAAUCCACCACUGGUUUUUGUGUGUUUCUUGGAGACUCUUUAAUCUCGUGGAAGAGCAAGAAACAAGAUGUUGUCUCUAGAUCUUCCACGGAGGCUGAGUAUCGUGCUAUGGCUGUGACUACAUGUGAGAUUAUUUGGUUACGUUGGCUUCUUGCAGAUAUGGGGGUUCACAUUUCUAUGCCUACUCCCCUGCAUUGUGAUAACAAAAGUGCGGUACAAAUUGCAAAGAAUUCUGUCUUCCAUGAGCGUACGAAGCACAUUGAGAUUGAUUGUCACUUCACCCGUCAUCAUUUACAGCUCGGGACCAUAUCGCUUCCUUUUGUUCCAUCGUCUUUGCAGAUUGCUGACCUUUUUACGAAGGCUCAGUCGGCGUCUCGAUUUCGUUUUUUGUGUGACAAACUCUCAAUGCUUAUUGCUGUUGCAUUGUGAGUUUGAGGGGGGAUGUUAGCCCAUAUGUUAUUGGGCCUUUAGUUUAUGGACCUUUAGGUUAUUGGCUAUGUAUAUAUAUAGCCUACUUUUGUUUUAGUUAUUUUUCAUGCUUUUCAGAUUAUAUUGUAAACCUUAGCCUUUCUUUCUUUCAAUAAAGUUCUAUUAACAUCAACUUGUUUUGUAAGUUUUGCAAAAUGAAAGGACUUACUAAACAUUUGUUAUAAGCUGGUUGGGUAUCCUAAUGAAGCAAGGUUCAAAAAGAAAGGUGGAGUAGAGUCAUCUAGCUUCAAGUCAGGAUCAGGCUCUUUUGGACUUUCUACUCAUAAUGUCUAUACAGAAAAGGUCAAUGAAGGCUAUGGGCCAGAGGUGCAUGAUGGAAAGAAUCAAGGAUCCAUACAAGGCUUGAAUAUAGCUUAGAUGGGAGCCGGUGCAUUUACUCAGAUUCAGUAUGAUCAAAUUGUCCGACUGCUUAAUCAGACUCGGUUGCAAUUUAAUAGUAGCGGAAUUUAAGGACCCUCAGCAAGUGCUGCAGGUGGUUCAGGUAUACCUAGUUCUAAAGCCUUCUUAGUGUCAAAAAUUCUCAAACAAUGGAUUAUUGACGCUGGGGGUAACAAAUCAAAUAGUUUCUGAUAUGAAUAUGCUAGAUAGUGUAUCCAUAAGGAAAAAAACAGAUCCUUAAGGUAUUCAGUUACCUAGUGAUAAGGAAAAAAAACAUAUCCUUAAGGUAUUCAGUUACCUAGUGAUAAAAUGCACUAGUAAAUUACAUUGGAUCAAGUUUCAUUUCUAAACCCAACACACUAAACAAUGUAUUUCUACUGCCACGAUUCAAAUAUAAUCUCUUAUUAGUGUCACAGCUACCAAAAACUCAAAUUGUAUAACUUUGUUUAUCCUAAUUUGUGAGUUUUUCAGGAUCCCUCAAAUGGAAAGGUGAAAGAGAUUGGUAAAGAGUGUGAAGGACUAUAUCUAUUGUUCAAUCAAUCAGAUGGAAACCUGAAAGAUGUUACAUUGUCUGCUCAAGAGACAGUGUCAGUUAGUGAUGCUGAUAUAAGUCUAUGGCAUAAGAGAUUUGGCCAUGUUUCUAGUAGAACUUUAACUAGUAUGCUUCUUAUAAGACAUAAUAAUAUGGUUGUUAUUGUCAAAACGUGUGAAAUACGUCCACAUGCUAAAUAAUGUAGACUACCAUUUCCUUCUAGCAAGUCACUCUAUUGAUAGAUUUGAUCUUGUUCAUAUGUGUCACGACUCAAAAGUGGAGUGAUGAUGACACUUGUUACGGUCCAACCUUGACUUGUAAGUCGAUCACCAAACAAUACAGAAAAUCCAACAAGAAUGAAUAUAAUAAGACAAGACUUAUGGAACGAAGUUAGGCCAAUAACAAAAUUUAAUGAGGCGAAAAUCUGAAAAAGUAACAUAAAUCAUCCAAAAUCUGAUGUCAUAAUGCAAGAGCAUCUAAGUACAAAAUUUAAAACAGAAAAUACAAAAGUUGUCUCUAUUCCAAAUAAAGACAUAUGGAUUGGAUGAGAUUUGAUUUCCACCCUGAACAGUAGAAUGAUCUUGUACCUCGAAUUUGGUUAACUCCGCUCGAAACCUCAACCACCACAUGAAGUGCUCGAACUAGAAUCUACAUUAAAAGGGCACAAUAGGGAUAAGUACAGUCCAUUUGUACUCAGUAGGUAUCGUAUACCGACUGAGCAAAGUAAAAAAUAAGGUAAGUAAACAACACUAUAAGAACGUUACCUGCAAGCAGAAAAGUUCUAAAUGAUAGCUUAUGCCGUUUUCACUAACAGUUCUAAGAUAUAUACUUGCACAAAAAUAGUAACAACACAGAUAUACAUGUAAAAUAUAGUAAACUAAGCACAAUACAAGGAAGCUAAAGAAAUAACAAAAGGCACAAGUUCAAAUGCAGUGCAAUGCAAUGAAAUAUAGAUGGAGUGAAUGGUAAAAGCCAUCACAUGACUCUCUAUAUACACCCAGUGAGCACAACUUCUAAGUAGGACCCAUGAGGGGUUCACAACCCAUAUACUAGUAACUAAUAUCUCAAAUAUCAACCGACCUCUCCGGUUUGUGUUCACAGAGAGGGCUUUUAUAAAAGUGUCUCAUUUUCUUUUUAAAAUAGUGUUCCACAAUUGUACCAAUAUCUCAUGAAUGUAUAUGUAUGGAAUGAGGAUGUAAUGCUCACAAUCAACUCAACAUGAAGAUAUCCAAUGCAUCCAAUAUGUAUAUAUGUAACCCCAGAAAUCAACUCAAUAUGUCCAUAACUCAUGAUUAUCAACUCUAAUUAGGCACCAUCGAAAUAAAUACACAUGUAAGACAUUAUUUAUAUCAUAUCAACCCCAAGUCAAAUAUUUUUAUCAUUAUAAGGGCAACCAAUGCUCAAAAAUCCAAAAUAACACUUCAAGCCCCCUCAUGGAUAUUUUAUAUAUCUAGAAUAAAGGAAUUUAAAUGCACAGAUAAUGAAAUUGAUGUCAAAUAAAGCUUCCACAUGGGCAAUACACAAUAUCAUGUAUCACAAGUCAACAACAAUAAAAUAUAAGCUCCCACACGAGCACACAACUGUAAUAGUAAUUCUCAAAAUAUAAACCCUAUAUAUGUAGAAACUGAAGGUAAACGGUCUCAUAUAUUAAUAAAGUCUUUAACUUGGAAGUAUUUAUCAACUCUCUAAAUGAAAACAUAAACAAUCUGACAAGCCUCUACUCAUGACUAGGGUGACACUGGGACAGACCCUAGCUUACCAGAAUAAAACUAGAAAUCAAAUAACUAAAAUGCUUUCAUCAAUGAAUAAACGUCUGAUAAACUAGAUCCUCGGACUAUGAGGACUCACCAAAAGUCAGGAUGUAGGUGAUGAUGCUCGUAGUCAAUCGUACUAUUAAAAACGAGCACCAGAACCUACAUUAUAAGAUAAUAUAGCACAUAGACAUAUAUGUGGGUUAGUACCUCUUGAAUGUAUUGAGUAUGUGGGGGUGAAUGCAUAAGUAAAAUGAUAACUGGCUAUUUAUAUAAACUUUCAAAUGAUUCAUGCUAAGCGUAAAUGACUCACCUUGAGGUUGAAUAAAAUAAAGACCACAAAAUCAUGAUCAUGCAUAAUAAAGCAUAAUAUUGAAAUUUGUGAGCCAUAAUACUUAGUUUCUAAAAGCUUUACUUUUAUUCUUCCUUAUGGAAGAUUCUUCUAACUGACAUAAACCAUGUGAGCUACCAUGGAGUCCAACGUCUUACCCACAUUGGGGAGAGCUGUUCUACCCUUACCAUCGAAAUAUAACCUUAACUUAAGUGAUCACUAUACUUUAUCUAUACUGGAAAAAAGCUUGACCUAUGUUGGCUCAUAGUUUUUAGGAAUUUAGGAUACGUACAUCUGCAUUCCUUUCUCGGUGCUAAAUACUACUCCCAACAUACUUAUAUGCUCAUACUUUAAGAAAUCUACCUUAAAAUAGCAUAAGGGUUUAUAAACUGAAAACCAAUUAUGGUUCUCUUUUCUUAAAUCACAAUCAGGAUGAAUAAUUAUGGAUUUUAUAUCUUGUCUUAGGAUCAAAAGAUCAAUCUUUGAUUUAAAUCAUGUCAUAAAACUGAUCAAUGGAGCUUAAGAGCAUAAUCUUCUUGUUAACUCAAUACUUGAACUUAGAGCUUAGAAUUUAUACUUUAAUUCAUAGAAAUUCAUGACAAAACAUCAUGUUAAAUAAUUAUCUUGAAUUCUUUCGACAAUAUCUCAGUCAAGAUAAUCAAAUUCAAAUCACAAUAUGAAUCUUAUAAAUCAAAACAUGAAUAUAAGUAAAUCUUGAUGCACUUAAAGUUUUCAAUCACAUGGUAGUAUCAUACUAUAGAAUAUGGUUAUUUGGGUAUGAACCCUAAUUCAAAAUAAGUAAAUUCAAUCAUAAAAUUAUGAUAUUUAGGCACAAGGAUGGAAGAUUAUCCUUGUUCAUAAACCCCCACAUACCUAAAGUUUCUUGACUUGUGAAGAAAUUUUAAAUCUUGAGACUUGAAGGAUGAACUUGUGAGAGAAUCCCUAAUUUUGAUGUCCUCGAAGAUGAGAGGAUGUAAGCUUGUUAUUUGAUUGAGGAAUAGAGGAAAAUAAUGCCUCUUUGAGGGUUAUAGGUCUUGGUUGGAAGUUAUAAGAGAGGAAAAGACCAAAAAGUCCUUAGCUGAAUUUUACAGAAACUGCUCAUCGAUCUUUAUGAGUCUACCAUAUGACUCGUAUGGAAGGGUACGAAUUAACUCAUCAACUCAUAAGCUUAGCAGACUCAAGGAGGGUAUACACUAGUCAAUAUACGAGUUCCACUUAUGACUAGUAUCAUCUUCAUACGAAUCUUACCCCCUACUCAUAGCUUGGAUAGAAUCUUAGGAAGGCUACACUGAUGAACCUACGACUUACUUCAUAUGAAUCGUAUGAUGAUCUUGUGACUCCUAAGGAUUUCAUCAUACCUUCAAUAGAAUGUCCACUAUGCUACACUGUCUUGGAUAUGAUUCACCAUACAUGACUUGUAUGGAGUAUGUACAACUCAAGGGAGAAGACGUAUAAUGCACUGAAACUCCUAGACACAGGGGUAUUACAAUAGAAAAAUAACGAGGCAUAGCAAGGGGCUCACAUGCAACAUCAAAGUCAGAAAAAAAAUAUGUAUACAUAUAGAAGAUUAUAGAAGAGGGGUUAAAUAACAUGAAAGCUGAUCUAUAGAAAACUAGAAUGAUACCUAUAAUAACUGCAUCAAAAACUUCUGCCUUGGGUCUCCCAAAUAUAGCAUAACACUGACCACAUGUGCUCCUAGACUGAGUGUCUCUAUGAUCACCUCCAUAAGCUCCCCUACCUAUAUCUCUAGCACAUCUAGUACCACUAGCACAACCCCUACCACUCUAUGAACCACCUCUCACUGUAGAAAUUAGAGUAGGACAAACCUGAAGUUGAGAACCCCACUAAGUGGAUCAAUACAAACGUUAAGAGAAAUCCCUAAAAACAUGGAGAAACUCAUCACAUACAAAACAUACCAAAUCCCUAGACACAUGGACAAACUCAUCACAUAUAAAACAUACCUUACAGCCCGACUCAAUUUGAGAAGGUACAAAUAAACUAGAACGACCAUCCUGGCCUAAAGAACCAAUUCUAGAGCUUUCAAUAACAUGACCUAAUAUCUGGCUACCAGAAGCUGCAAAACCUGAGGACCUACCACAUAAACCCUACAACAUAGUAUGCAUGAGACUACCAUGAUAACCACUGGAACCUCUAAUAAAUAAAUCUCUACCUCUAAAGGAGUGUCAACUAAACUCACCCUCAAUCAUUUUAGCAUGCUCAAUAAUACUCUAGAAACAAGCCCCUGAAACUACCAUAGGGGUUGUAGUCAACUGAUAUGUACCAUCUAACUCCUUCAUAAAUUUUUGAAUCCUCUCAGAUUCAAUGGAGAUGCUAGCAGAUGGAUAUCUAGAUAAGGUGUGAAAAUGUUCCUCAUAAUCGAUAAUAGACAUAGAGCUCUAAUCCAAAUAAUCAAACUUAUCCCCAAUCUAAUUUCUCAAUCUAUAUGACACAAACCUGUCCAAGAAGGACUCUAAAAAUUGAGUCCAAGUUACAGAAGGCAAACCUAAAGGCCUAAAACAAGCAAACAACCUCCACCAAUCCCUAGUCAUAUCCGUCAAUAGAUAGGUAGUGUAAACAACUCCAUGAGACUCAAAGGAUCUAAUAUUAUGUAAUUUUUUUGUCAAUUAAUCAAAAACUUAUAGGAAUUCUCGCCAAUAGCUCUACUAAACUUAGGCAAACCCACGUGAAUAAACCUCUCAAAAUUUUUUUGAUCAUCAAAAAACAUAAUUAUACCAAAGCAACUAGAGAAAUAGUGAGUCUGGUAGGCAAAAAGUCCAUAUGUGAGGGAACUAUAGAUGAUGGUUGUACCUUAGAAGUAGGAAUGCCAUAAGUAGAUGCCAGUACUAAUGGUGGAACAUUACUAGAAGUAUGAGAAAUACUAGGUACACUCAAGGGAACGUAUUCUAAAUGAGUCAAGGGAACAGAUUCCAAACGGCUCAAGAGAUGAACCAAAAGACUCUAAAGCACCAGGGUGUCGACUGAACCCUAUUGAACUUGAGUUGUCCCCGCAUCUCCUGUCUGAUAAUCAUCUCAAGCAUACUUAAACUUAGGCUCAAGAGAGGUCUCCCUAGUACAUCCUCUGACUGGGGCAGCUCCUCAUGCCUGAACCCUAUGGGCCUUUCACAACCCCUAUUUCGCCAUCUAGUCUGGUCUUCAUCUUUAGGUAUACUGGCUCAACAUCCCUAGCCUCUCAAGAUAUAGUCCUCACCACCUAUGUUGAAAAAAAUGGAAUACAACUUAGAAUAUUUGAUAAGAAUAACUUAUAUGAUUAGUGUUUUAUCCUUUUCGGAUUUUAUUUGGCGAGAAAAUAGUUUUGACCUCUUAAAACUAUUUCAAAAAAUUCAAAAAAAGUUCAAAAUAAUUUUAAGAAACUCACAGAAUCACCACUUGAUUUUUAUAGAAAAAAUCAAGAGAAAACUUAAAAUAGAUUCAAAGGUUAAAAAAUAGGAAUAAACCUUUAAAAAUAGAGAAACUGGGUAAGGGUUCAAUUAACGCCCUAAGAAGGUUUUUAAGGUACUUAGGUUUGUCUAUUUAAAAUGGUUUACCAAAAAGAACUAACUUGACUAACUAAAAAUGACUAAUUUUUGUAAAGACUUGAUUUUAGAGAAAAUAUUAAAAUUAUUUAUUUAAACAUUUAAAAAUAAUAUUUAUUUAUUUAGAGGAGAAAAUAAUUUAUUUGAAUUGAACUAAAUUAUAAUUUUUCGAACUUUAGGAGGAAAUGAAUUUUGCCUUUGUUGGAGAAGAAGAUUAUGAAAUUAUUUUCUUAUUAUUAAUUAUUAUAAAAAAAAGUUGAUUAUGUUAUAAAUAAUAGUUUGGAAAAAAUAUUAAGAGAGUAUUAAAUUAAAAAUAUCUUAUUAAUUAUGGAAAGUUAAAACUUAUAAGAAAAUUUAGUUUGUUGAGUUUGAAGAAAGUUAUUUUAAUCCAAAUAGACUAUUAAUUGCAUGAACAUAACAAAAUGUCAUUUUGAAAUAAAAUACUUAAUCUUUAAAAGACUUGAUUUAAGGGAAAAAUUGAAAGAACCAUUUUAAUCCGUUUUUAGACGAGACAAAUUAGAUGAAAAAAAGGAAUUAUGACUUAAAUAAAGAAAAUUAAGAUAAAAAAAAAUGACAAUACUUUAAAAAUUUUAUCUAGAUUAAUUUAUUAGAGCGUUAGUACACAUAAACAAAGAUGAAUUAUAAGCUACAAAAAAUAAUAUAAGAAUUGAAAUUGGGCCCUCAAUUGGCCCAUUAAUAAAGCUGCCCAGUUUUGAGCUUUGAAUUACGGACUUCAGUUCAUUUUUCUGAAGUGUAUACCAGCUGCAUAUCAUCCCCUUUUCUUCCUGCGUUUUUGUAUAUCUGGUGUAUACAUGACCAUAUAUUGGUCCUAUAUACACGUAUUUUAGUCCUCCACUUGUAUAAUAAGCUUCUUUUUUCUCAUAUUCACCAUAUAUCUAUUGUAUAUCUGCUGUAUACACACAUAUACAACCUUGUUUCUUGUCUCUCAGUCCAUUUUUGGGACUUUGAUUGAGGCUCGGACACGACGGAGUUCAAAUGCGAGAGUAAUGAGAAUCCAAAUGGACCCAUUUAAGACAGUUCAUGCACAAAUUGAGAAAUUGAAAAGAAUUAGUACUGAAUCUUUAAAGAGGCAAAGAGAUAAAUUAAAUUCAUGUAAAUAUUUUACAAAUGGUUGAGUCAAAUAAACAGGACAUCAUACGUGUAUUUAUGCUAACAUGAUGCAAGCAGUUAAGCCAACUUGAUAAUUUCACCAUGUGAACAGAAAGAAACCAGAUUAAAUGGUUGCAACAAAAAUUGAUUCAAGCCACAGGAAAGAUCUACAUUAAUUACAAUUAUGAUAAAAAUAAGUUAGGACAGUGGCCUGUAACAUGCUUAGAACCUAAAUUUAUGAAAGAGAAAAAAAAAAAAUGAAGGCGGCAACUAUAUAAGAAACAAGAAAGUACGAAUAGUGGGGUCAAAAGACACAAGCAGCAACAAUUAAGUUUUGGACAACAAAAUUCAUAGGAAACAAGAAACUAUGAACAUAGAAUUAAGAAACACAACAAGCAACAACUAAGUUUUGGACAAUAAAAUGCAUAGGAAACAAGAAACUAUGAAUAUAGGAUUAAGAAACACAACAAGCAGCAACUAAGUUUUAGACAGCCACAUACAUAAGAAACAAGAAGAUACGAACACGGGGUUAAAACGAGCGUUGAGGAUUGAUAACAUCUUCGACUAAUAAAGUUAGUAGUUAUAUUUUUCUAGUGUUACUAGCUUUCUGCAAUAUUUUGCAAGCUAAUUUCUAACCGAAUAAAAAAAGAAGGCAGAUUCAAACAUACAGCUAAAACAAAAAUUCAAACAGAGGACAAAAAGGAUUCAAGUGGCUACUACUAAUUUCAGAUUCUUGAAUUGAAAUGAAAGACGAGGAUAAUUACUAACCUUUUUCGGGGCAGCGAAUCCGGGAAGAUGAAUGGACGACGAGCUUUCAACACCGGAGUUUAAAUUUCGAAUCUUUGGAUUUUAAUUUUCUUCGGAAUUGAGUUUUUGAGUAUGUUUCUUCGAGGAUUUUUGGUUACAUAGGAUUGGAAGCAAGCGCCACCCAAAUCUCAAUUUUUCCCCAAAAAUUCUCCCCCCUUUCACUCUACAUAUAUGGGUAUUUAUAGUGAAUUUUGGGGGGAAAUCGGAAGGAUAAACAAGGAAAAACUAGUUGAGAUUUGAAUUUCAAAAUUGAGAUAAGGUUUGACCUGGAAUUUGUGCAGAAUCUGAACUUUGUUGCUAAGCUGUUGAAAUUGUAGUCGUUGGUGUUUUGGAGUUGUUUGGUACGCUGCUUCACUGUUGUUGCUGUCGGGUUAUUAAUGUUGUUGUCACAUUUUAUUGUUGAAGUUGUUGCGUGGUUGUUCUGUUGUUGAUGUUGAAAUUGUACAGCGUUGUCGCUGCUGCCUGUGUUGUUGGAUAAGAGGGACUAGGUGUAUAAAGGUGUGGGCCGGGUCACAGGUGAGUGAAUUAGGCCGCUGGUUUGUUGCGUUUUUUAUUGUUUUUGUGGGCUGAUUUGGGU
This 55902-nucleotide long non-coding RNA is filed under the name Capsicum annuum. Its description in RNAcentral is "long non-coding RNA (CANN_LNC011658)". Lineage: Eukaryota; Viridiplantae; Streptophyta; Magnoliopsida; Solanales; Solanaceae. The record is from RNAcentral.